UGAUGAUGAAGUGCACUCUACAUACCUGGAGUUUACAUUUGUUUUUCCUUUUCAUUAUUAUAAACUUUAUAAACCAGUUUUCCAUAACAUUGAACAAUUAAUGAAAUUAAUUAAAAUAAUAAAAAAACAUAGGAAUCUUACUCAUAUUCUUUGGUCAGAUCCUCAAGAAACUCAACUGGAUUCAACCACUAAAAGGAUAAUUUAAGGUGAAAAAAAUGGUUUAUUAAAUUCAUAGGAAAUUAUAUAAUAUCAAAGACAAGUACAAAUAUUGAAAUAUUACCUCCCACCAGAACGCACCUCCUGCUGGUUCCCAGGCUGGAUAACCACCAUUUUUACUCUGCAAUCAUUUCUAAAAUAGCUUAUAAUCCAUAUGUUUAUUUAUUUAUUUAGAUUUUUAGAGUACAUUUGAUAAUUGAGGAACGAGCAUAGGGAUACUAAAGAUUAAAUUCAUGUGUUAAUCCCAUACAAUACAGAAAUUUGUCGGCAAAUAACAAAUUUAUAAUAUAAGGACAAUUUAAAGCAUUCUAGAUUUAAUUUUUACCUCCAUGGAAAUAAAAAUAAUUUGAAAUUCAAAAUAUAUAUUUUUAAGGUUUUCUAUAUCUAUACUUUUAUCUUAAUUGAGUUGGCCUUACAGGUCAACCAGUUACUAAUUUCGUUAAAGAAACCGUUAAUUUUAUUCUACAUGUGCAUGUGUGCUUUUUUUUUUUUUUGUAACUUUUUAAAGUUGGUGACUAACAAAAAUGUUUCUAAUAGCCGGGUGACUAUUUAUGUAGUUUACCCAUAAAUUUAUUACGAAGGUAUUUUUAUCUUUCUAUAUUUUUAAUAUAUCAGUAAAAAAAAUUGAAUAUGGUGAUAUUUGAACCCAUGUCAUUAACACCUAUAAUUUCUUUUCUUUAGUGUCUUAUUUUACUGUUUCUAUACAUUCCAAUUUUGUUACGCAUUAUUUCGCCCUCAUUGUUUGUAUAUUUAUACUUAUAAACUUUUGAUUGAGUAGAUGUAAUAGGUCAACUAGUCAUAAACUCGAUUAAGGAAAUAAUGAAAAUAUCCUUCCAUGUAUAAAUAAUUUAUAUUAUUCUGAGAAUAUUUUUAUCUUUUUAAUGAAAUCAAUAAAUAAUUACGUAUGAUGAGAUUUGAAUACAUGCCAAAAACAUUUAUAAAGUUUUAUUUUGAUAUUUUUAUUGAAUAUUAGUUUUAAAGAUACUCUUACAUUUCACACACAUGUGAAAAUUUUUCUAAUUGCAAUUAAUGUUGUUUUUAACUUAGACAUUUUAUACAUUGUACCUGUAAAGAUAGAAGAACAUUGACAGCAUCAUAAAAUUGCUGUUCUUCCAUUUUCUCACCAACCAUUUCCGGUGCCAUCAUUGCAAAACUUACACAACACUGCAAAGAAAGGAACAUACAAUUCCUACGAUUAAUUUAGACUUGUGAUUAAGUCAUUCAUCUAAACAUGAAAAUUCAUUAAUAUUUUAAAAAACAAUAAUAAUGUUGAAAAACUGAGUAUCUUAAAAUUCAACAUUAAAUGUUUGAACUCAACUUAUGAACCAAUUUGAAUAUAAUCGAGUUCAUGAACAACUCUUAUUUAAUUGAAUGAAACAAAAUUUACCUUCAAACUUUCUGCAGUACAAUCAGAAACUUGCCAGCCAUGAUCUCCAUUAGAGUAUGUCCAUGAUCCUUUAGAAAUGUGUCUAAACAUUCUUUUAAAAUCUCCUGAAGGAUUAUUCCUAACCUUAAAUUUUCAACCAAUAUUUUGAACCAUCAAUUUCGAGCAAAUUGGUGAAAUUAAUCACAACUUUGUGUUGUGUAGUUAAGAAACUAUAUAUAAUGUUUAGAGUUUUGAAUUUAAGGUUCAUAUAACCUGUGAGUUCUUUAAGAAAUUGUGCCCCUUCAUAAGAGUUAGUCCAAUUUCAUCAUAUAAAUUGGUAGCAAUCAAAGCUUGGAGAAGGAGACUAGCAUCCCAAAUUUGACUUGCAAUGCCCUUCAUGGUGAAAUAUUGAAAAAAGGAGAACAUAAACUAAUUAGCUAAAAUAGUAAUGAAAAAUCAAAGUCAAUAAUUUAAUGAAAGUUUAACUAAUUCAACAAUUUUAGUGUUUUAUAAUUAACAAACCUGCAUCUUCAUUCCAUCUUCUCCAACCCAGAAAUAGUCAGCAAUCCUAGCAAGAUGUUUCUUAAAAUAAAUUCCAUUUGGAUCUUCAACCCAACAAGCAAGCAUACAUAGAAUCUGCCCAAUGUAUUAGCAAGCAUUAUAUGUUGACAAAUAUUAUUCAAAAUUAUUUAUACUUUAAUUGUAUUACCUUUAUCACACAUGCAAUGGUAAUAUAGCGACUGCUUUCAUCUUCAUAGUGAAUGAGAUCCAUUGCUACUUUAAGAGCUUUUUUUCUCAAUUUAUUAAAGGGCCAACGAUUAAGGAGAGGCUCUGAAAAUAAGUAGAGACUAUCCCAAAGCAAUAUUGGAGGCAAUGAAUGAGGAUAGUGGAGAUCUUCCUGCAUGCAAUGAAUAAAGCAUCCUUCUUUCACAUUUUUUUAUAUAAAUAAUGUAUAGAUUAUGAUUACUUUAGAGUUGUGUCUCAAAUUCUAAGAGAUUGCUUGCAAAUCAAGUUAAACAAAAUAUAUUUUCUUUCUAGAAGAUUUAGUAUUUAUUAGUAUAAUAUAUUUAGCAUUUAUUAGCAUAGUUUAUUUGACCAACUAAUUUAGCCUAUAAAUAGGUUCUUUUGCAACCUUAGAAAAUACACACAUUAGAUAUUAGAACUCAUAACACAUUUAGAGAAUUUUGUGUUUAUGUUUUGAGGGUUCUUUAUUUUCAGAUUUUCGGGAUUUAGUUUUUAUCUCAAUUUUUUGUACUUUUCGUUCUUUUGCCAUUAUAAUAAAAUUAUUUUUACCCCUAAUUUUUUUAUCCUCUUUGGAAGAUUUUUUUUACGUUAAAUUUAUAUAUUCAAAUUUUCAAUUUAUUUCAUUAUUUUUUAUUACUUGUUGCUUAAUCAUUUCCAUCCUAACAAUUACCUUUGCACAUAAAUGCCUCUUUUCGCUCCAAUCGAUUUCAUCAUAUGGUUCAGUGUGGAGUUCUUGUCUUAACUGUAAAAUCAGAGGUGUGAUUGGACCCACGAAUUUUCUUCCGUACAAAUAUGACAUUGGCAGGUAAGUUAAUCGGCAAUAACAAAGCAUCCUUGCUGCAUUCCAAUAUCGUUAAUAUAUAUACACGUACACACACAUGAAUAUAUACAAACAAAUCAUUUAUAUGGUUUGUUGCAAACCUGGAUUAAUGGGAAAAUAAGAAGGAAAGAGCCAAAAUUCUGGAGGCAUUGGGUUACAGCCUGACCAUUCAUAAACACCCAAUAUCUACGUAAAAGAAAUUAAUAUAUAUUAAUUGUUGGGUUUUUAUAGGCAUGACAUCUAUAAUAUAAGUAGUAAUUCUAUUUAGUUCGUGAUUUAAUAUGGUUAAAGCAAAUUGAACUUAUAUGUGUAUAUAUUGAUGUAACUAAUUUAUUAUUCAUCAUGAGCUAAUUAAAAAUUAAGAUUAAAGUACAAAAAUUAUAUAUUAAGAUUCAAAUUAAACAUAUAUAUAUUUUUUAAUAUUUUAUCUUUAAAAAAAUCAUUUUCUCUAAGAUAUUUAUUUGUUUGUAAAUUUGGAAAUCUUUAAAGAUUUUAACAUAUGAGUGGCUUUAGGUAUGUUCUACAUUUAGGUUUUGUUUUUAAUAAUCUAAUAUGAUAGAUUCUAAUUUAUUAAGUUUUAUAUCAUAUGUUAAUUUGUGAAGAAUAAGUUUUAUGGUAACUAAAAGAAAGAAGACAAACUGAAAGCCAAAUCUUGCCCCAAGAGGAAAUGGCAGUGACACCCCCACGAUCGAGAAUCCACUUUCGAGCUCUCUCGCAAGCAUUAUUAAGGUCACCAUCAUGUCCUACUCCCAGUAAACGCAAACAAAUGUAGUUGAGAGUUGUGCAAAGCAUUGUACUGUGCCCCCUACAUAUAAUCCCCACCCUCCAUCCUCGUUCUGCCAUGAAAAUCAAACUUUCUUUAUUUAUUAUUAUCAUCCAACCGUUUAAUACAUACAUAUAGCUAACCUUAUAUACAUAUAUAUUUAAAUUUAUUACCUGAUGACAGUAAAUAAAACGGAAAAUUUCUUUGCGAUGCUCUGCAGAAAAUAUAGUAUUGAGAUGUCCUGUGAUAUAUAGAGACAUGACCAAAGGAGGAAGAUAAAACAUGGGGCCAGAAUUCUCAGCUGGCUAAUGGCCAUGUGUUGACUGUAGAGCUGAAAAUAAGUGCACACUUCUCUUCACUGCUGCAGUUCUAACUUCAUAUGUCACUUCUUCACCAUCCUCUAUCUUUGGUUGGGGAAUGGUUUGUUGCAUCUUCUUCUCUUUUAGAAACUGCAUUCAUCAAACAUAUAAAUCAUGACAAAGAAGUCUAUUUAACUUUUUUUAUUAUAAACUGUUACAUUAAGGAAAAUGAUGUACCUGCAUUUGCCAGAGGAGAUCAGAACUAGGCUGAACAUUGUAUCGAUUGUUGUAGAAGUUAAGACGAGCUUCUUCAACCUCAGCUCGUUCUUCAGCUGUACCUGCAUUAGGAUCGAACUCCCACGUUUGUCUUCCCAGAAAAUUGUUGGUACUGUAAAGGUAGGGAUCAUUGCCACCUUCUCCUAUCUUAAGCCUCCACAUAUUCUUCCUUAAUUUUUCAUGAACAAAGUCCUCAUCUUAUAUAGGCUUUACACCACAACCACUAGUUGAUAAUAUUAAAUGAAAGAUUAAAUAUAUGACCUUUCACCACAGCCGCCAGUAUUAAAUGAAAUAUAAAAUAUAAGAAACCACAACACUAGUUGCAAUUAUUAAAGCAGAGAUAAAAUAUAAGGGGAGUUAGCAGAUGAAUUUUGAAAUUUGGAAGAGUUUGAAUAAAGAUAUUAGGUUUGGAAAAUGGUUUUGAGUAAAAAAAAAUUAGAUUUAUUUAAAAUAAGGUUUGAGUUCAGACUUAAACAUUUAAGGUUCAAGUUAGGUUCGAUCUCUUUUUUAAGUUUGUAAUAUUUUAUAUUAUAUUAUUUUUAUAUACUAUGUAAUAUAUAACACAUAAGAAUUAAAUCUAUAUUAAUAUAUAAUACUACAAUAAUCACCAAAAAAAUGCAUUAAGUAUUGAGGAUAAAAUAUGUUACUUUUGACACUUAUAAAUUAUUAAGGGAAAGAUAAAAUUUAAAGAGGAGGGGUAGAGGGUUGCCUCAAAUUUGGAAGAAUUUGAGUAGAGAUAUUAGGUUCGAAAAAUUGUCUUGGGCAAAAAAUCGUGCCCAUUUAAAACAUGGUCUGAGCUCAAACUUAAACAUUAAAGUCCAGAGCCUUGCUCGAUCCAUUUUUUAAGUUUGUAAUAUUUUAUAUUAUAUUAUUUCUAUAUACUAUGUAAUAUAUAACACAUAAUAAAUAAAUCUAUAUUAAUAUAUAAUACUACCAUAAUCUAAAUAUUAAAAAAUAUUAAGAUAAUUAUAUAUAAAAUUUUAAUAAAUAAAAAAUAUUAAAUUUAAUUUUAAUAUUUUUAAAAAUAAUAUCUGGGGACCCAAAUUAUCUAUUUGUCAAAUAUGGGUCGAUUUGGGUAAAAUUUUAGGCCCAUAUUUGGGUCGGGCUAGGCUUAUACAAGUAUAAAUUGUGUUAAUAUCAUGCUUAAGUUCGACCCAUGAACAACUCUAAGGGAGGACUUUUAAAGUUCACAUAAACAAAUAGCUAAAGACUUCUUGUCAAAAUAAUCAUAUUUUAUAGUAAAAUCAUAACUUGAGAUUAAAUUUUAUUAAGAAAAUAUUUUAAUUGAUAGAAACCUUGAGUAAUAAAAAUACAAAGAAAUAACACAUAAUAUAAAUGAUAAAUAACACACUACAAACUUAUGCACAAUUGGAAUGUUUGCAAAAUAAUUUCAAAAUAUGAGAAAGACAAACUGGUGGUACUCACAACACUAGAAGCAUUCAGAACCAAACCAAAAAUGCAACACCAUGAUCAAACCAUUGAAAAUUGUAUUCUAGCCCCACUAUCAUCAAACCAACCUAAUGAUGAACAUCGGUCAACUAAGAAACUACUUCCAAGAGCCCCAUGAAAUCUACCACAUUAAUGAUGCACAAAAAGCCAAGUCUGAAAUAAUUUAACCUCCUCAUCAUCAUCUCAGAACCCAAUUUUACAAAAACUAUCACUGUCCUUUAUCAUAAUAAGGACCUCCGAGAACUGUUCUCAAUAUAUCUGGUACUACCUUUACAUUGGAAAAUAUCAUAUAUAUGCCAUAACAUUAUUAGAAAGUAUAAACUAAAACUAAAACCACUAUAGAUUUUAGAGAAAAAUGAUGUUUUCCUUUUUUUAGUUUGAGGUCCCUAGAGUAUAAUUAUAAAUUCUUAUUUAGAUUCGAUCGGGAAAGUAGUGAGAUACAAAAAUAUUGGAUAUUAGGGUUGUUACAUACUUAAAUGUCUUUUUCACUAAUUUCAAAUUUUGUUUUGAUAAUGUCUAUGUUUUCAUAAUCAAAUUAUAAUUUUUUUUCCAAUGUAGUCAAAACUUAUGCAAGCAAAAGUCCCUGUUAAAAAUAUCAUAUACCACAGUCCAUACUUAAAUAAAAAUUACAAUCCCAAAUAAAAUUACUAAAAUAAAUAGAGUAAUUAAAAUAAACUUUGUUGCCACUAACCCGAAAUAAUAUCUCUGUAUGUAGAAUCUAAGCCUAUUCUUGAAGGUUAUCCGUAAGUAGUAAACUAGGGGGUGAGCUUAAAAAGCCCAAUGUGAAUCUAAAAAAUAUAAGCAUUUAAUAAAUCAAAUAGACAUACAAUUAUUAAAUAGUUCAACCAAUUUGUCACGACACAACUACAUAUGAAUAUGGCAUGCUAAAUGAUUCAAUCCAAUAAUCCUACUCAUUCAUCUGCUACACACCAUGAGUUCCCCAAAACUCGUCAUCUGAAUUCCAAAUAGUAAGGGCUUAAUCCCGUUGUGGUUAAAACCACCAAUAACAGUAUGCUGAUAAAACUGCAGGUAAAAAUGCCAUAAAUCACCCAAUCUCUUCAAAUCUCCGGUGCAGUGCACUAACAAUAGUAUUGAGGACUUCAAAUGUCGUUAGAUCUCCACGGAACUCCUCUGUCAACCACAAAUAUCCACCCCAUGCAGAUGUGUUAUGACAUACAAUCGAUAAGCAAAUCAUGCUGAUGCGGAACCCCGGAUCUAGACACAAGAGAAACACAAAUUAGAAAUAAAAACGAGAAUAAAUAAAAGUAGUUAAAUAAUAAUAAUAAUAAAAGGAUAGAUUUGCCUUAUGGAACCCUUGGUUAACUUGCAACCAAAAACGCCAAUGAUUGAGCGGCUCCCUACGAAACCCCUAGAAGAAGAACCUCUAGAAACACCAAUGAACGGGAAAGAAAUUUGAAUAUUUGUAACUCCAAAAUACUCUCGAAAGUAACAAACUCCAAACUAAAUAGCAAGAGAAGAAUCACUCUACUCUCAAAAAUUUGCCUCACACAAAUUUGGAAGAAAACAAAUACUCUCUUUUUUAUAUAUCCUCUAAUGUGUAGAAAACAAGCCUAUUUAUAGGCAAAUUACAAGAGUAAUUGAAUCCUAAUAAAAACUCUUUAAGGAGUAAUUGACUUUAAAAUUAUCUAAGAAAAUAAAUAAAUAAUAACCUAACAAAUAAAAUUACUUAACUCAUAAAUGAUGUGUCCCAACCAAUGAGAAUAAAGUAAAUAAUAACAAUAAGAUACAUAAAAGAUUAAUCCACCAAUUUAUGGGCUUUCACUAUUCCAAGAUUGGUCCAGUGAAUUGCAUUCCUGUAUUUGUCAAUGUCACGAACAUGAUGAAUUAAAUUUGUAGCAACAAAGUCUUGGACAAAAGCAUUCAUCUUUGAUUUUAAUUGUCGUGCCUUGCUUCGAGUGAUUGGACCACUAGGAAAAAUAACCCCUUGAGUGUCACCUCAUUGGCUCGUAUCAUUCUCCCCCUCUUCAAGAAGAUUCGUCCUCGAAUCUAAACCUACAUCAAAUUCAAAAGGAGAAAGAUCAGAAACAUUGAAAGUAGCACUAACACUAUACUCACCAGGAAGAUCAAUGCGAUAAGCAUUGUCAUUUAUUUUCUCGAGUACUUGGAAUGGUCUAUCUCCUCGUGCAUCAAGUUUUUUCUUUCUCUUAGAAGGAAAUCAUUCUUUCCUCAUAUGCACCCAUACCCAAUCUCCAGGUUCAAACAAGACUUGUUUUCGCCCUUUAUUAGCUCGAUGUGCAUUGGACUCAUUCUUUUUCUCAAUGGCUUUACGAGCCUUCUCAUGGAUCUCUUUCACUAAAUCAGCUUUCCUUUCACCAUCUAAAUUAGCAAUGUCAUUCAAAGGUAAAAGAAGCAAAUCUAAAACAGUAAGUGGAUUAAAGCCAUAUACAAUCUCAAAAGGAGUAAAACCUGUGGAAGAAUGAACAGAACAAUUAUAAGCAAACUCAACAUAGGGUAUCCAUUCUUCCCAAGAUUUAACAUUCUUACCUAUUAUGGCUCUAAGCAAAGAUCCCAAAACUCAAUUUACCACCUCGGUUUGACCAUCAGUUUGAGGGUGGCAUGUAGUAGAGUAAAGUAGUUUAAUACCUAACUUACCCUAUAACACCUUCCAAAAGUGACUAAGAAAUUUUGCAUCUCUAUCGGAAAUGAUAGUCCCUGGGAUUCCAUGUAAUCUCACAACUUCACGGAAAAAUAGAUCGGCAACAUGGGUUGCAUCAUCAGUCUUAUGGCAUGGAAUGAAAUGAGCCAUUUUAGAAAAUCGAUCUACAACCACAAAGAUGCUAUCUCGUCCACGCUUUGUCCUUGGUAAACCUAUUACAAAAUCCAUUGAAAUGUCAGUCCAAGGUGAACUAGGAACAGGAAGAGGAGUAUAUAGACCAUGAGGCAUCACAGUGGAUUUAGCUUGUUUACAAGUCAUGCAAGUAGAGCAAAUUUUCUCAACAAGUUUUCGCAUGUUAGGCAAUAAAAAUGCUCAUGUAAAACAUCAUAAGUCUUAGUGACUCCAAAAUGACCCAUAAGACCACCAUUAUAAGCCUCUCGAACCAACAAUUCUCGCAUUGAACACCUUGGUAAGCAUAGUCUAUUAUUUUGAAAAAGAUAGCCAUCAUGCUUAUAAAAUUUGUGAAAUGCACCAUGUUCACAUGUGUCAUAAAUGCUUGCAAAAUCAGAAUCAGUGGCAUAUAAAUUUUUGAGAUACUCAAAACCUAAUAACUUAGUAUACAAAGUACUAAGUAAAGUGUACCUCCUUGAUAGAGCAUCAGCCACAAUAUUAUCUUUACCUUUCUUAUAACUUAUAACAUAAGGAAAAGAUUCAAUGAAUUCAACCCACCUCGCAUGUCGCUUGUUCAACUUACCUUGUCCCUUUAAGUGCUUAAGUGAUUUAUGGUCUGUGUGAAUCACAAACUCCUUUGGUAAAAGGUAAUGUUGCCAACUUCUAAUGCCCUUACCAAGCAUACAACUCUUUAUCAUAGGUCAAANNNNNNNNNNNNNNNNNNNNNNNNNNNNNNNNNNNNNNNNNNNNNNNNNNNNNNNNNNNNNNNNNNNNNNNNNNNNNNNNNNNNNNNNNNNNNNNNNNNNNNNNNNNNNNNNNNNNNNNNNNNNNNNNNNNNNNNNNNNNNNNNNNNNNNNNNNNNNNNNNNNNNNNNNNNNNNNNNNNNNNNNNNNNNNNNNNNNNNNNNNNNNNNNNNNNNNNNNNNNNNNNNNNNNNNNNNNNNNNNNNNNNNNNNNNNNNNNNNNNNNNNNNNNNNNNNNNNNNNNNNNNNNNNNNNNNNNNNNNNNNNNNNNNNNNNNNNNNNNNNNNNNNNNNNNNNNNNNNNNNNNNNNNNNNNNNNNNNNNNNNNNNNNNNNNNNNNNNNNNNNNNNNNNNNNNNNNNNNNNNNNNNNNNNNNNNNNNNNNNNNNNNNNNNNNNNNNNNNNNNNNNNNNNNNNNNNNNNNNNNNNNNNNNNNNNNNNNNNNNNNNNNNNNNNNNNNNNNNNNNNNNNNNNNNNNNNNNNNNNNNNNNNNNNNNNNNNNNNNNNNNNNNNNNNNNNNNNNNNNNNNNNNNNNNNNNNNNNNNNNNNNNNNNNNNNNNNNNNNNNNNNNNNNNNNNNNNNNNNNNNNNNNNNNNNNNNNNNNNNNNNNNNNNNNNNNNNNNNNNNNNNNNNNNNNNNNNNNNNNNNNNNNNNNNNNNNNNNNNNNNNNNNNNNNNNNNNNNNNNNNNNNNNNNNNNNNNNNNNNNNNNNNNNNNNNNNNNNNNNNNNNNNNNNNNNNNNNNNNNNNNNNNNNNNNNNNNNNNNNNNNNNNNNNNNNNNNNNNNNNNNNNNNNNNNNNNNNNNNNNNNNNNNNNNNNNNNNNNNNNNNNNNNNNNNNNNNNNNNNNNNNNNNNNNNNNNNNNNNNNNNNNNNNNNNNNNNNNNNNNNNNNNNNNNNNNNNNNNNNNNNNNNNNNNNNNNNNNNNNNNNNNNNNNNNNNNNNNNNNNNNNNNNNNNNNNNNNNNNNNNNNNNNNNNNNNNNNNNNNNNNNNNNNNNNNNNNNNNNNNNNNNNNNNNNNNNNNNNNNNNNNNNNNNNNNNNNNNNNNNNNNNNNNNNNNNNNNNNNNNNNNNNNNNNNNNNNNNNNNNNNNNNNNNNNNNNNNNNNNNNNNNNNNNNNNNNNNNNNNNNNNNNNNNNNNNNNNNNNNNNNNNNNNNNNNNNNNNNNNNNNNNNNNNNNNNNNNNNNNNNNNNNNNNNNNNNNNNNNNNNNNNNNNNNNNNNNNNNNNNNNNNNNNNNNNNNNNNNNNNNNNNNNNNNNNNNNNNNNNNNNNNNNNNNNNNNNNNNNNNNNNNNNNNNNNNNNNNNNNNNNNNNNNNNNNNNNNNNNNNNNNNNNNNNNNNNNNNNNNNNCUAAACCUAAUAAUUACAAAUGUUUGUUUUGUACAAAGAGCAAAUUUGAUAUCUCGAAACCUAGCGAAUAAACUCACUCUCUCAUCUCGUGACUUGUGUGUGCAAUCACUCACCAAUGUUGGGCCUUUAAGUUGGCUUUUAACACUAAGGGUCUCUUUACUCUCUGCCUUUUUCAAUGAUUUGACCUCACUUCCCUUACCCAUCUCACUAGCAAGUUUGAGUUGAUCAUUGUAGACUUCUUGAGGAGGAAGUGGAGCUAAAGUAAACUUCUUUCCAAGGAACACAAAGGUAUAUUGGUUAAGGAAACCAUCAUGAUUUACUCGUCGGUCAAACUGCCAUGGCCGUCCAAGUAAUAUAUGCCCAGCUUGUAUUAGAACAACAUCGCACAAAACUUUAUUAGAGUAUCUACCAAUGGAAAAUGAAACUAAGCAUUGUUUAGAUACUUUUACCUCCCCACUAUCAUUCAGCCAUUGCAAGCAGUAUGGCCUUGGAUGCUUCACACAAGGUAGGCCAAGUUUCUCAACAAGGGAAGAACUUACCACAUUGGUGCAACUUCCACUAUCGAUGAUCAAUGAACUAGGUUGUCCACCAAUCAAACAUCUCGUGUGGAAAAUGUUAUCUCUUUGUUCGCGCCCUUCCUCUUUAAAUUGGACAUUUAAAGCCCUUCGAGCAACAAGUGCUUUCUCACCAUACUUCAAGUAUUUUUCAUACUCAUCAUGAGUAUGCACAUCAUUAGCAUCUUCCAAAGGAGGCAUCUCAUCUUUGUUAUUGGACUCAAAAUCAACCUCGCCAUCUUCUCGAAUCACCAAUGACUUUUUAUUAGGGCAUUCUUGAGCAUAGUGACCCCUUCCUUGGCAUUUGAAGUAGGUAAUAUCUUUUGGCUGCUUAAUGGCACUAGGAGAAGUAGAAGAAGAAGAUGGAGCUCGAUUAGUAGAAGUAGAACCUUUAAAUGAAUUAGGCAUACAUCUAUCUUUGGAGUAAGUUCUAGGCUCAUUUGGCUUGAACCGUGCAUCUCUCUCAUUCUACAAUCUAUCAUCUUGUUUUUGCCAAUUUCCUCUCCAAGCAGGAUUAGAAACUGAACUAGCACCCAUCGGUGUCCCUUUCUUUCAUAAUUACUUUUUAAUGGUGAGUGCGGUUUGAAGCAUCUCUUCAACAUCCAUGUAGUGUUGUAACUCAACUCGAUUUGCAAUCUCAGGCUUUAGGCCGGUAAGGAAUCUAGCCAUAGUCACCUCAGCCUCUUCAACAAUAUUAGCUCUAAUCUGAAUAGUCUCCAUCUCUUUGUAGUAGUCAUCCACAGAUCUAUCUCCUUGAACAAGAUGUUGGAGUCUUUGAUGGAGUUCUCGAGAAUAGUAUGGUGGAACAAACCGUUUUCGCAAGAUGCGCUUCAUUUCAACCCAAGUAGUAACAGGUUGCUCUCUAUAAAGAAUCCUGCUUUUACAUAAUUGAUUCCACCAUGUUAGUGCAUAAUUAAUGAACUCAGCGACAGCGUAUGUUACCUUUUUCUCAUCAGAGUAAUUGUAACAAGCAAAGACUGCUUCCAUCUUUUCCUCCCAAUCAAGGUAAGCAUCAGGAUCAUUCUUCCCUAAAAAAGAAGGAAAUUUUGGUUUGGGGGUGUCAUUGUUUCGCUCCAAUCUUUCUCUAGGUACAUACUCGGACUCAAAGUCAUCAUCAAAAACAUGGUCCUCCCUUCGUUUAAAAGUUCGAUCUCGUGAAUUUGAUCGGCUUAUAAAGCCUUCGUUCAACUUCUUGUAAUUAUCGGCAAUGUAUCUCUCUUGAGUUGUAAGUUUUGUAUCAAGAUACUCCCUUUGCUCUUGUAACAUCUGGGUCAUGCGAUGUUCGAAUUGAGUUUACAACUUUUUCAUCUCUUUUUGUAACAACUCGACCAAAGGAUCGUUCUCUCUUUUUUGCUCAUCCUCUUCAUUUUUACUAGUUUGGGAUCUAGUGAUCGACAUGGUAUCUGUGAAAAAAUCACACAAACAGGAACAAGAAAGAAAAAAUAAUAAUAACCUCACUCGUUAGCUCUCAAAAGAAUAACUCUCUGAAUGAUUCAAAACUUGUAAAUAUGUUUGGAGAGGGUUACUAAUCAAGAUCAAAUAACGGAGGUGCAAACUUCAAAGAAACAAUGAAGAUCCUAAUUGCUUUAAGAGGCCAAUAAACUUGACGAGGCAAUUUGUAAUGGAGGCUACACGGAUGAAAGAAUUGUGCGUGCUUUUAAUAUCUGCUAACACAAGAAGAAACAAAGUGUUAGAAAGUGUAAGAGAAAUAAAAAACGUAGACCUGCAACGAUCCCUAGCUCUAGAGUUAAAGAAAAGCUUUAAUAAGAAGAAAACUUAAGAAAACUCUACCCAAUUUAAAAAAAAAACAAAACAAAAAUCAGAAACGUUCGGUGUCUUAAGAUUUUCAAAAAAAAAAUUGAAGCUUUAAUUAUACUUGAGUCAAGAAAAGAUGAAGGAAAAGAAAUUCAAUUUUGGGAAAAAAAUAAAAAAUAAUAACAAUAAUAGGAAAAGAAGAAACCUACGUAUGAAAGGUAGGUAACUUUUUUUUGUGCUUUUUUUGCGCUUUUUGCUUCUUCUUUUUUUCUUUUUCUUUUUGUUGUUUUUUUUAAAGAAUAAGAGGAGAAUAAACACAAACUUCAAAAAAAAAAAAGAAUCGACAAAACCGAUGAAAAGUGUUUUUGGUAUUUUGACUCGUUUCGGAUUUGAUUUUAGCUUCAAAAAUAACAUCGAAUAGCUUGAGACUGAUACCAACUGAUGCGGAACCCCGGAUCUAGACACAAGAGAAACACAAAUUAGAAAUAAAAAUGAGAAUAAAUAAAAUUAAUUAAAUAAUAAUAAUAAAAGGAUAGAUUUGCCCUAUGGAACCCUUGGUUAACUUACAACCAAAAACGCGAAUGAUUGAGCGGCUCCCUACGAAACCCCUAGAAGAAGAACCUCUAGAAACACCGAUGAACGGGAAAGAAAUUUGAAUAUUUGUAACUCUGAAAUACCCUCGAAAGUAACAAACUCCAAACUAAAUAGCAAGAGAAGAAUCACUCUACUCUCAAAAAUUUGCCUCACACAAAUUUGGAAGAAAACAAACACUCUCUUUUUUAUAUAUCCUCUAAUGUGUAGAAAACAAGCCUAUUUAUAGGCAAAUUACAAGAGUAAUUGAAUCCUAAUAAAAACUCUUAAAAGAGUAAUUGAAUCCUAAUAAAACUCUUUAAAAUUAUCUAAGAAAAUAAAUAAAUAAUAACCUAACCAAUAAAAUUACUUAACUCAUAAAUGAUGUGUCCCAACCAAUGAGAAUUAAGUAAAUAAUAAUGAGAUACAUAAAAGAUUAAUCCACCAAUUUAUGAGCUUUCACUAUUCCAAGAUUGGUCCAGUGAAUUGCAUUCCCGUAUUUGUCAAUGUCACGAACAUGAUGAAUUAAAUUUGUAGCAACAAAGUCUUGGACAAAAGCAUUCAUCUUUGAUUUUAAUUGUCGUGCCUUACUUCGAGUGAUUGGACCACUAGGAAAAACAACCCCUUGAGUGUCACCUCCUUGGCUCGUAUCACAUGCUUUCAAUCACGAUUGUCGAAACCUUUUUGGGAAUCAACUUUUUAUUUUAAAAACAAAGAUUGAGUUACCACCAAUCCAAGUUUUAUGGUAAAUAAAAGGAAGAAAACAUACUGAAAGCCACAACAUACUGAAAGCCAAGUCUUAUCCAAGAGCAAAUAGUAGUGACACCCCCACGAUCGAGAAUCCACUUUCGAGCUCUCUUGCAAGCAUUAUUAAGGCCACCAUCAGGUCCUACUCCCAGUAAAUGCAUACAAAUGUAGUUAAGAGCUAUGCAAAACAUUGUACUCUGACCCCUAUGUAUAAUCCCCAUCCUUCAUCCUCGUUCUGCCAUGCCAAAACAAACUUUCUUUUUUUUUUAUUAUCAAUCCACCAUUCAAUACAUAUAUAUUUAUAUUUAUAUUUAUUACUUGAUGAUAGUAAAUAUAAUGGAGAAUUUUUUUACGAUGCUCUGGAGAGAAUAUAGUAUUGAGAUGACUUGUGAUACAUAGAGAUAUGACCAAAGGAGGAAAACAAAGCAUGAAGCCAGAAUUCUCAGCUGGCCAAUGGCCAUGUUUUGAUUAUAGAGCUGAAAACAAGUGGACACUUCUCUUCACUACUGCAGUUGUAACUUCAUAUGUCACUUCUUCACCAUCCUCUAUCUUUGGUUGGGGAAUGGUUUGUUGCAUCUUCUUCUCUCUUAGAAACUGCAUUCAUCAAAUAUAUAAAUAAUGAUAAAUAAGUUGUUAGAAUUAAGUGACCCGAAUCCUUAUUUAAAUAAAAUACAGUGGUAAAAUAAAAAAAAGUAAAAUCCCUAUAGAACUAUACUUCUUUUAUUUUAUUUUAGAAUAAGGUUUUUUAAACCUUAUUAAACUCCAUCUAUUUGAUAUUGAUUAGAACAAGGUGUUUCAAUCUUACUACACUCUUAUUAGAAUAUGGUUUCACAAGCUUAUAAAAAGACAUAGUCUACUCCUCUUAUAAUCAUUCGAAUUCGACAUAGUGAAUUAUCUUCUCCCUGCCCGUGGUUUUUUCCCGAAAGGGUUUUCACGUAAAAUCUGUGUGUUCUUUAUUUCUCUCUCUCUCCUUUUCUUUACGAUAUAUUGUCAUUAUCGAUAUUUUAUUUUUACAAAUUGGUAUCAGAGCUUUUGGGUUAUUCAUCUCAAUCACGGUAAUGGUGUCUUUGAAGUAUGAAAUUCUGCUGUUGGAUUACAACACCUGAUUCGCGUUGUGGCAGAUAAAGAUGCAGGCAAUUCUUGCACAGAUAGACUUAGAAGGGUAGAUAAGAUGCCUUCAAUGUUAACUUAGUUGCAUCUGCAUUUGUCUAAUGAAAUUUUGCAAGAUGUGAUGAAGGAAAAGACCGCCACUGGAUUAUGGACGAGGUUGGAACAAAUAUGUAUGUCGAAAACUCUAACUAGCAAGCUGCAUAUGAAACAACGUCUUUAUACUCAUUGUUUGGAGGAAUGUGCAUCUGUGCACGAACACUUAACAAUGUUUAAAAAGAUUCUCUUAAACUUGGGGGCCAUAGAGAUUUAGUAUGAUAAAGAAGAUCUAGGGUUGAUUCUACUUUGUUCGUUGCCCCCGUCUUAUUCAACCUUUAGAGAUACGAUUUUAUAUAGCCACGAGUCUCUCACAAUUGAUGAGAUUUAUGAUUCUUUAACCUCGUAUGAUAAGAUGAAGCAUCUUGUGGUUAAAACCGACUCUCAGAGAGAGGGUCUCAUUAUUUGUGAAAGACAAGAUCGGAAUGCUGAUGAUGAUCGUGAAAGGACAUAGGAACGGAAUCCUUGCGGUAAAUCUAAGGGUAGAUCGAAGUCUUCAAACAGAGGUAAAACUUGUAACUUCUACAAGAAGAAAGGACACAUUAAAUCUGAGUGUUAUAAGCUACAAAAAAGAUCAAAAGGGAGGCUACGAAUCAAAAUAGAAAACAACCAGAAAAUUUUGGUAAAGCUGAUAUUGUAAAAGACUACAGUGAUGGUGAAUUCUAGUCGCUUCUGUCAAUAAUUCUAAAGUAAGCGAGGAGUGGAUCCUUGAUUCAAGCUGCACCUUCCACAUGAGUCCCAAUCGGGAUUGGUUUACAACUUACAAAACAAUAUCUGAAUGUGUAGUUUUGAUGGGAAAUAAUGCUUCAUAUAGAAUUGCAGGUGUUCGAACAGUUAAAGUUAAGAUGUUUGAUGGAGUUGUUAGGACACUUAAGGACGUACGACAUGUUCCAGAAUUGAAGAUAAAUUUAAUUUCGUUAAGUACUCUUAAUUCAAAAUGGUACAAAUACACAGUUGAAAGUGGGGUUUUAAAGAUUUUCAAAGGUUCUCUCAUUGUGAUGAAAGGGCAAAGAAUGCCAAGUUAUAUGUUUUGUAGUGUUUUACUGUUACUGGUGAUGCAGCUAUCGCAUCCUCUUCCUUGUUAAAUGAUGAUAUUACUAAAUUUUAGCAUAUGCACCUAGGGCUUAUGAGUGAGAAUGGCAUGGAAGAAUUAAGCAAAAGAGGACUUCUGUGCGCACUGCUUUUUUGGGAAGCAAAAGAGAGUUCGAUUCACCAGAGGAAUCCAUAACACAAAGGGAACAUUAGAGUAUAUUCAUUCUAAUUGGUGGGGCCCAUCCAGAGUGCCUUCGAGAGGUGGAGCUAAUUAUAUGCUAACUUUUAUUUAUAAUUUUUCUAGAAAAAUUUGGGUGUUCUUCCUGAAGCAGAAAAGUGAUGUGUUUUCCGCAUUUAAGUCUUGGAAAACUAUGAUUGAAAAACAGAUGGGAAAAUAAAUAAAAUAUCUCUGCACAGACAAUGGCUUAGAGCUCUGUUCUGAUGAGUUUAAUAAACUGUGCAAGUUAGAAGGGAUCAUGAGACACUUGACAGUUCGUCAUACUCUACAGCAAAACGGCGUUCCAGAACAAAUGAACAGAAUGAUCAUGGAGAAGGUUCGAUGUAUGUUGUCAAAUGCCAACUUACCAAAGUCAUUUUAGGCCGAAACAGCCUCUACUGCAUGUUUUUUUAUCAACCGAUCUCCAUCCGUUGCCAUUGAGAAAAAAACUCCACAAGAGGUAUGGUCUGGUAAUCCUGCUAACUAUUCUGAUUUAAAGCUUUUUGGGUGUUCUGUGUAUGCUCAUGUUGAUAAUGGAAAAUUGGAACCGAGAUUCAUUAAAUGUGUUUUUCUUGGUUAUAAAGCUAGUGUAAAAGGGUAUAAGUUAUGAUGUACUGAAAAUAGAAAAGUUGUGAUUAGCAAAGCUGUUGUUUUUGAUGAAACUGCUAUCCUACCUAACUCAUAUCUUAAAGACUCUUCCAAUAAAGAAAAUCAAAAGCAGGUGGAGCAUCAGAUUAAUCCAGAAUCUACAAUAGAGUCGACUCCUCAAGUCAGUACAAAAAUUCAAAAUAGAGUUGCUUAUUCACCACAAUACUCUAUCGCCAAAAAUAGAACUAGAAGAGAAAUUAAACCUCCAAAGAAGUAUGCCAAGGCUGAUCUAGUUGCUUAUGCUUUAAAUGUGGCUGAAGAUAUAGAUGCAAACCAAGAGCCAUCUAAUUAUUCUGAUGCGGUUAGCUGCGAAGACUUAGAAAAGUGGAUGUUUGCUAUGCAAGAGGAGAUGGAAUCACUCCAUAAAAACAAAACAUGGGAUCUUGUGAAACUUUCUAAAGGUAAAAAGGUUGUCUGUUGUAAAUAGGUGUUUAAAAAGAAAUAGGGGACUCUAGGAGUUGAAGAACCCCAAUAUAAAGCAAGGCUUGUUGCAAAGGGUUACAGUUAGAUUCCAGUAGUGGACUUCACAGAUGUGUUCUCCCCAGUUGUGAAGCAUAGUUUGAUUCGAGCUUUGCUUGGUAUUGUGGCCAUGCAUGGUUUGGAGCUUGAGCAGUUAGAUGUAAAAACUAUAUUUUUGGAGAGAACUUGAGGAGGAUAUUUACAUGAAACAACCAGAGGGUUUUACAAUCUUAGAAAAAGAGGACUAUGUUUGCUUGCUAAAAAGUCCAUUUACGGUUUGAAACAGUUACCAAGACAGUGGUACAAGAGGUUUGAUUCCUUUAUGACUUCUCAUGAUUUUAAAAGAAGUAGCUUUGACAGUUGUGUUUACUUUAAGAAAAACAGUGAUGGUUCUUUUAUGUAUCUACUCCUUUAUGUUGAUGACAUGUUGAUAGCAGCAAAAGAUAAAAGAGAGAUAAGAAAGGUCAAAGCUCAACUAAGUGAAUAAUUUGAGAUGAAAGAUUUGGGACCAGCAAAGAAGAUACUUGGUAUGGAGAUUCUCAAAGAUAGAAAAGUAAGUAAAUUGUACCUAAGUUAGAAGGGGUACAUUGAGAAAGUUCUUUGCAGAUUCAAUAUGCAGAAUGCUAAGCCUGUUAGUACUCUUUUAGCAGCCCAUUUCAGAUUUUCAUCGGCUUUGUCUCCACAAUCAGAUGAUGAGAUUGAGUACAUGUCACAUGUUUCAUACUCUAGUGCAGUGGGAUCUCUCAUGUAUGCUAUGGUUUGUUCACGUCCAAAUUUAUCAUAUGUAGUCAGUCCAAUUAGUAGAUAUACGGUGAAUCCCGAUAAAGAAUAUUGGAAAGUAGUUCAGUAGAUUUUAAGAUACUUACGAGGUACUACUAAUGUUUGCUUACAGUUUGGAAGAACUAGAUAUGAAGUCAUUGGGUAUGUAAAUGCUGAUUUUGCUGGAGACCUUGAUAGAAGAAGACCUCUCACAGGUUAUGUCUUUACAAUUGGAGGUUGUGCAAUCAGUUGGAAAGUUACUUUGCAAACUACAGUUACUUUGUCUACCACUGAAGCUGAGUACAUGGCGAUUAUUGAGGCUUGUAAAGAAGUUAUUUGGUUGAAGGGACUCUUUAGUGAACUCAAUGAAGACCUUCAAAUCAAUACAGUAUUUUGUGACAGUCAAAGUGUCAUCUUCCCUACAAAAGAUCAAAUGUUUCAUGAGAGAACAAAACACAUUGAUGUUCGAUAUCAUUUUGUUUGUAAUAUUAUUGCUCGUGGUGAUAUUGUUGUGAGCAAAAUUAGUACUCAUGAAAAUCCUGUAGAUAUAAUGGCUAAGUCACUUCCUAUAAUCAAGUUUGAGCAUUGCUUAGACUUGAUUGGUGUUCAUUGUUGAAGUUAAACCCUUAAAAGGUUUUAUGGAAAAGGUGGAGAACUUGUUUGUUGAGAGUUCACGAUGAAGAACUUGUUCAUUGAGAAUUCGUGUCCAGGUGGAGACUGUUAGAAUUAAGUGACCCGAAUCCUUAUUUUUAUUCCUUAUUUAAAUAAAAUACAGUGGUAAAAUAAAAUAAAAGUAAAAUUCCUAUAGAACUAUACUUCUUUCAUUUUAUUUUAGUUAAACCCUUAAAAGGUUUUAUGGAAGAGGUGGAGAACUUGUUUGUUGAGAGUUCAUGAUGAAGAACUUGUUCAUUGAGAAUUCGUGUCAAGGUGGAGACUGUUAGAAUUAAGUGACCCGAAUCCUUAUUUGUAUUCCUUAUUUAAAUAAAAUACAGUGGUAAAAUAAAAUAAAAGUAAAAUUCCUAUAGAACUAUACUUCUUUCAUUUUAUUUUAGAAUAAGGUUUUUUAAACAUUAUUAAACUCCAUCUAUUUGAUAUUGAUUAGAAUAAGGUGUUUCAAUCUUACUACACUCCUAUUAGAAUAUGGUUUUACAAGCCUAUAAAUAGACAUAGUCUAUUCCUCUUGUAAUCAUUCGAAUUUGACAUAGUGAAUUAUCUUCUCCUCUACCCGUGGUUUUUCUCGAAAGGGUUUACACGUAAAAUCUGUGUGUUCUUUAUUUCUCUCUCUCUUUUUUCUUUGCGAUACAUUGUUAUUACCGAUAUUUUAUUUUUACAGAAGUCUGUUUAAUUAUUUUAUAUUAUAAAAUGUUACAUUCAGGAAAAUGAUGUACCUGCAUUUGCCAGAGGAGAUCAGAACUGGGUUGAACAUUAUACCGAUUGUUGUAGAAAUUAAGACGAGCUUCUUUAACCUUAGCUCGUUCUUCAGCUAUGCCUGCAUUUGGAUCGAACUCCCACGUUUGCCUCUCCAGAAAAUUGUUGGUACUAUAAAGGUAGGAUCAUUGCCACCUUCCCCUAUUUUAAGCCUCCAUAUUUUCUUCCUUAAAUUUUCAUGAACAAAGUCAUCAUCAUAUACAAACUUUGCACCAAUAGCAUUAGUUGCUAUUAAUAAGUGAAAGAUAAUAUUUAAGGGGGAGGGGUAGACGGUAGCGUGUGUAAAGACAUUAGUUCGAAAAUUGGGUUUUGGCAAAAAAUUAGACCCAUUUAAAAUAUGGUCUGAGCUCGGGCUUAAACAUUCAAGGCAUGAGUCCGGUUAGAUCCAUUUUUUAAGUUUAUAAUAUAAUAUAAUAUUUUAUUUUAUUUUAUUUUAAUAUAUUAUAUAAUAUAUAACACAUAAGAAUUAGAUCUAUAUUAAUAUAUAACACUACUAUAAUGUAAGCAUUAAAAAUAUUAAGAUAAUUAUAUAUAAAAUUUUCAUAAAUAAAAAUAUUAUAUUAUUAAAUAUUAAAUAAAAUUUUAAUAUUUUUAAAAUAAUAUUUGGGGCUUGAAUGGGAUUCAGUUAUUUAUUUGCAAAAUAUUUGUCAACUUGGGCAAAAUUUAGGCCCAUAUUUUUGGUCGAACUGGCUUGUGAAAGCUAAAAUUGUGUUAAUAUUAAGUCCAACCCGACCCGUAACACCUCUAGGGGAAGGACUUUGAAAAUCCAAAUAAAUAAAUAGCUAAGGACUUCUUGUGAGAAUAAUCAUUUUCAUAGUAAAAUCAUAACUUGAAAUAAAUUUUUAUAAAGAAAAUAUUAUUAUUGAUAGAAACAGUGAAUAAUAAUUAUAUAAAGACAUAGUACAUAGUACAAAUGAUAAAUAAUACACUGCAAACUUAUGCACAAAUGAUAUGAAAAAUAAUUCCAAAAGAUGAGAAAGACAAACUGGCGCGCGGUACUCACAACACUAGAAGCAUUCACAAACAAACCAAAAAUGCAAGACCUCGAUCAAAACAUUGAAAAUUGUAUUCCAGCCCCACUAUCAUCAAGCCAACCUGAUGAUGAACUUUGAUCAAUAAGAAACUACUUCCAAGAGCCCCCAAGAAACCUACCACAUCAGUGAUGUAGAAAAAAUCAAGUCUCAAAUAGUCUAUCAUGUUCAUCAUCAUCUCGGAACCCAAUUUUACAACAACCAUCACUAUCAUUUAUUGCGAUAAGGACCUGUGAGAAUUGUUCCCAAUAUAUCUAAUGCUACCCUUACAUUGAAAAAUAUCAUAUAUAUAUAUAUAUAUAUAUAUAUAUUAGAAAGCUAUUAGAAAUUAUAAACUAAAACCAUGAUGAGUUUUAGAAAGAAAAAAGAAGAAGAAGGUGUUUUUUGAUAAUUUGAGGUUCGUAAAGUAUAGCUAUAAAAUUAUAUAUAGAUUUGAGCGGGAGUGUAGUAAAAUACAGGAAUUUUGUAUAUUAGGGUUUUAAGAGACGUAAAUAAAAAAAUGCAUUCUAUUUUGCUUUGAUAAUGUUUAUGUUCGAGUAUGUGAAAUAAUUAGUACUAUUUCUAUAAUUAAAUUACCGCAUAGCUAAUGCAAUGAACUGGAUUUCAAGGAUAUUAAAAAGUUCGAUUUUUAAGUUGAAAUUAAUAAUUGCGUGUUCAAUCCGUAAUUAGGGAUCAUUGCCACCUUCCCCUAUCUUAAGCCUCCACAUUUUCUUCCUAUUCAUAAACAAAGCCCUCAUCUUAUAGACUUUACUCCACAACCACUAGUUGCCAUUAGUACAUGAAAGAUAAAAUAUAAGACUUUACACCACAAUCACUAAUUGUCAUUAUUAAAUAUGAUUAUUAAAUAUGAAAGAUAAAUUUUAAGGGGAGGGUAUAUACUAGGCUGCCUAAAGGUUGGUUUGAAAUUUGAUAGAAUUUAAGUAAAAAAUAUUAAGUUUAUUUAAAUAUGGUCUGAGUUCGGGUUUGAACAUUGAAGGCUUGAGCUCGAGUCAAUCCUUAAAUUACACAAUUUUUUUACUUAGUACCUUAAUCCGUAGAAAUCCCUAAAUUAUGCUAAUUUUUUUUAGCAUAAAAGUAAUUGACUCUAGGUUGAUUAAUUAAAAUUUCUUUCUAAUUAAAACCCUAUUAUCACAUUAACUCAUGUUAUGGAUUUCCCUAUUAGAUUUGGCUCUAAUUCGGUAGAUUUAUGUCAUCCUAUUUCUAAGAUUGCAUGCAACUCCACUCAACUAUACAAGAUCUACUCUUAAACAGGGUCUAUUCAAUCACUGAUUUAAGCGCAUGAAAUAUAGAUUAAUAAUCUAGAAAUAUCAAACCAAGAAUUAAACACACAUAAUUUAGAACAAGAAACUAAAUAUUUAUUGCGUGAAAUAAAAAUCAAACGACAGAAUCCAUCAUAGGGUUCAUCUCCCCUAAUUAUUUAGAAAAUUAGUUCAUGCUUGAAAAUAGAAACAUCCAAGAUUUAGUAUAACCAAAAGAAAUAAAGAAACUCAUGAUAACUUCCUUAAAAAUCAAUUGGGAAUCUUCAAUCUUGACGGAAAUCUGCUUCAAAAUUGGCUUCAAUGGUGUUUUCCAAGUUGUUUUCUUAAAUAUUCUAUGACAAUUCACUCCUAUCUUGCCGUGUGGAAUGUUCAGCCUAUGUGGCUCCUGUAGCUUGAUCUGACACUCCGAAUUUUGUUUGUUUUACUCUCAAGUGCUCUAUUAAGCAUUAAAACAUGAAUUUAAGUGAUUAUAAGUAUAAAAUUCACAAUUAACAUCAAAUAAUCACUCAAAAAUGCAUUUAAGUGAUUAUGAGUAUAAAAUUCACAAUUAACAUCAAAUAAUCACUCAAAACGCAUUAAAAAUGAAGUUAAAACAUGUUAGCACUUAUCAUGAUGUUAUCAAACUUUUUUUUAAAUGAAAUAGAGUAAAAAUUUCAAAAUGCUAAUACUUUUAAAUUAUCUAUAAACUAAUUUAAUUAUUUUCACAAAAAAUAUAAUUAAAAUCAUUUUUUUAUAUUGUAUUAAUUAAUAAAAAUUUCAUAAAAUUUUGUUAAUUAAUUCGAUGUAUUUUCAAUUAGAUAUUAACUUAUAAUUAGUUUUCAGUUUAAACAUAUACGAGUAAAUAUUUGGUAAACGGAAAUUUUUAACUUCUCAAGUGGGAUCCCAAAUCUUUACCAAGAAAAGGUAAGUAAAUCUCGUUCUGAUGCUUAGAUCCCGAAUAUUUGUAGAAUUCCUAUCCAAUGUUAAUCUUACGUUCGAUUAAUCAAUCUUUUACGAUUCUUGCAAAAAAAAUUAGGCUUAUUUAAAUAUGGUCUGAGUUUAGGCUUGAACAUUUAAGGCUUGAGCCCGACUCAAUCCGUUUUUUAAGUUUGUAAUAUUUCACAUUAUACUUUUUUAUAUAUUAUUUAAUUUAUAAAACAUACGAAUUAAAUAUAUAUUAAUAUAGAAUACUACUAUAAAGUAAACAUUUAAAAUAUUAAGAUAAUUAUAUAUAAAAUUUUGAUAAAUAAAAUAUAAAAAUUAUUAAAUAUUAAUUAUUAAAAAAUAAUAUGGGCGGGCUUAAAUGGCUUGGGCUAGAUAUUUGAAAAAACAUGGGUGGGCUUGGACACAUUUUUAGACCUACUUUUGGAAUCAAGCCGAGCUUGUGCAAGCACAAAAUGUGUUAAUAUCACUUUUGGGCAAAAUAUGAAUGUAAGCAUGAAAGCAGGAUACUAAAAGCAUGAGACAAAAAAUGUAAACAUGAUUUAAGUUAUGGUUGGAUUUCAUAUUAAAUUUAUCUGUUUAUUUUUGUUAUAAAUGAUUACUUUUUUUAAUCAUGUUAGCACCACUGCACCGUAUUGCUCAGCAUAUAGUUUUGUUGUUUCCGUGCGUAUAUCUCAAACAAGAACUUAGUAGACUCGAAGUCAAGCAUCCAAGUCCUCCCACUCAUCUAAGAGGUCACCUCUUUGGUAUUUUGUAUGUAUAUAACUGAUUUGGGUCAUAUAGCAUUUACCGAGGUUAGUUAGUAUGUUGUUAAGUUAAUAUUUGGUGUUUUUGGCAUUAUAACCUGCAAAAUUUUAAAAGUUAAGUUUUAUUCUUUGAUUAGUGAUUAUCUAUGUUUAUUUAUAUAAGUUUGAAUGUGUUAGUUGAUAGGUUAAACCUUAAUGCAUUGGAUACUAUAAUUUGAUGGUGGUUGAUUGUUUUUACAUGUGUUAAUUUGUGAUUUAGCAUUGACGUAAUAUUUGGAUAUGUUUUAGGUACAAUUAAAUGAGGUUGAAUGAAUGAAAAUGUGCAUUUUAGGCUAUUUGACCAUUAACUAUUAAGAUAAUAAGAGCAUGUCUUAAGACCGUUAGAUCAAAAACCUACCUUAUUAUGCAUUCAAUUGCUUAAUUUCUCAAGACAUGUCAAUUUGGUCUCGAGACAAACUCAUGUAGUUCUCAAGACUAGUGGCAUUUGUCUUGAGACAAGGGUACUAGUAAACUAGUAAAUUUUUCUAACAGGUUGAUUAAUAAAAUAAUUCAUGGAUUACAUUAAUAUACUUUGUAUAAUGUCCCCAUGUGGUUUUUGCAAGCAAAGCAAAUAUUUGCUCAUUGGUUGUCUAAUGUUUAAACAAAUACUAAGCGGUAUUACGUGGUCGGAUACAGAAAGACAAUUUAGGAUCAUUUAGUCACGAAGUCAUUCUAUUAUAGUAUCGUGACUAAGCUCUCCCUAAUGACAUACCAUUACGAAAGUAACUCGAUCAUGCUCAUCUAAUGACCUUGUUAAAAGUGUUUUAUCCUCAUAGGAUAUCCUUAAUCUUUUUGGGAUAAAUUUGCUCUCCCAAUGUGAUCCUAUUUUAUCUCGUGGUAAUCAUUACAUCUUCUUUCAUGAAAAGUCAAUUACUAUCAAAUAGCAAUCAAGUCAUUCAUCACAAAGAUGAACAAACCAUGGACAUGUUUACUUUUCAUCUAUCAUGUAAUACUAAUGAGAGAAUAUUAUUUUCUCAUGUCUUGGACUAUGAAUUUCACUAUUGUGAAUGAUGCUACAUACCACAAAAGUCGUAUACCCAAUGUACCAGCUUUCAGUUCCUUAUCUAUUUGAACUUGAGCUUUUACUUACCUAAAUUUUCUUUCUAUAUUCGACCAUGUAAUACCGCUUAGUAUUAGUUAAACAUUAGAUAACCAGUGAGCUAAUAUUUGCUUCCAUUUUGCUUUACAUGAAAAACUAUUGAGGACAAUAUAUAAAAGGUAUUAAUGUAAUUUAUGAAUAAUUUUAUUAAACCAAUCUGUUCGAAUCCGAUAGGCAUUCCAUAGGGUUUGUCAUGUUGGUGGGAGCUUUAGUGCUGAGCGCAAAUUAUCAUUUGAUAGUUCUUUAAUACCCUAGCGGUCGAGAACAUAUCACUAGCUCAAAUACCCUAGGAGUAGGAGCGGUAUACUAGUGUGGUUGUGGUUAUCGGUGCAUUUAUGCCCGCCCAACUCUUGUGCAUAUUCUAGUAUGUUCGACUUAAUUAUGUGUCAUUUUAUUAUGCUUUAUGGGUUAAUUUAAUAAUGCGUUGAAUUUAAAUUAUGUUAGCACCAGUGAGUUUUCAAUGCUUAGUAUGUGAAUAUGUUUGUUUUUGUGCGUAGGUGAAGGUAGACUUUGAGUGGCAUGUUAGAGUCGAGAGCAUUUUCAGCGAGUUCAUUUUAAUUUGAUUUGAAGGUGAUUGGCUUCCAGCCUCGAAAAAUCCUCUCGUCGCGACUACUCUCCGAAGAGGUAAACGACUGGUCAUGAAUUGUGUUCCAUUCACAUGGGUGAAGAUCAAUCCUCCUACCUCCUGGUUAAAUGCUUGUUAUUUUGUCUUGGUAUAGGUGUUUCAUGAUGAUGUACAAGUGUAUUUGUAUGAUUUGUUUUUGCAAUGAAAGAAUGAAUUGUUUGAUGGCCAAAAAAAAGGUUAGGUUGUAAUUAAAAAUAAAAAAUAAAAUUUGACACAGAACAAUUUCUUAAUUACAAUUAAAAAAGUUCCUAUACAAUGGAUAGUGUAGCAUACAAUUCUUAAAGAAAGAUCCACCGAGUCCCUGCCAUUUGAUCCAAAAAUUACAUCAUCACAAAAAUAUUAUAAUAUAUAUAUAUAUCCUUCUCCCGGUAAAAGUAUUAUGAAAAUAUUUGUAUUAGGAGUUAAAUUAUAUUUUACUCUAUUAUUUAAAAAAUAGACAAAUUAAUUCUUAUAUACUAGAUUAAAGAACAAAUUGUUCCUUUUUGUUAAAAUUUUCAUCUAAUUCUACCGUUAAAAACUUAUGUGACUGAUAGAAUAACUAGACAAAUAUGGCACGUCACAUGUAUCUCAUUCUAAUGUACAGGGACCAGUAUUUAAAAAUAGAAAUAGAUGGAAUUUUUAACAAAAAAAUUAUUUUGCUCUUUGAUCUAACAUAUAGAGACUAACUUAUCCAUUUUUUGAAUAAAAAGAUAAAAUAUAAUCUGAUUCUUAAUAAAUAGCAUAAUUAGUACUUUUACCCCUUUUCCUUUCCCUUUUCUCUUAAUGAUGCAUGUAUAUACAUAAAGAAACUUACCUGCUGGGGAAAAUCACCAUUUGGUAACUGAGAAUUUAUCAACAAUUUUGCAGCUCGAUGCAAAGGUGUAGGAUCCCUCUCAGCCUAUUUAGUAACAUACGGAUAUAUGUAUUGUGAUAAAGAAAAUCAACAUAGCAAUAAAUUUAAGUAUAGAAUAUAUAUAUAGUUUUGGAAUAAUGCAAAAUUUUACCUUCAAACGUUAAUUUGUUAACAAUAUUGACAUGGUAGUUCACAUGUAUUUCGCGUUAACAUAACAUUAUUUAUCUUAUAUGUCACGUCAACAAAUAAUUUAAAAUUUAUAAAAAUAUUUGAAAAGAUAAAAAAAUUCUAAAUUCAAAAAAGUAUAUAAAAAGUUCAUUUUCUUUUAAAUAGCAUGGAGUAUAUGCGGAUUGUAAUGCUAGUUUUCAUGUUUAAGAAUUUAAUAUUUUAGUUAAUUUUUUCGUUAAAAAAAUAACAAUUUAAUUUUUUUUGAAAUGUUGAUGGUCAAAUUUGACUUUUAUUUUAAAAGAUUGAGGCUAAAUUUAAUUAAAUAAUAAUAACCAAAUUAAAAAUAAUGUAAAGAUUAAGGACUAAACUCGGUGUUAAGCCUUUCUUUAUUUGGGCAUAUUAGGAUUAUAAGAUAAAUAGACAAUUGAAAGUAAAGCAUACCUGACCACUAAUAAUUAAACCCAUCAAAGCCUGUGCAGUAUUUACCAAGUUCGAUUCUUUUCCUUCAAUGGGUGUGUAUACCUUUUAUCAACAAGGACAAAAAAAAGUAUUUAUAUAAUUAAAUAAUAUAUAUAUAUAUAUAUAUAUAUAUGAAAGUAAAAAUAUAUUGUUGGUCCCUAUAUUUUGACAAAAUUUGAGGUUUAGUCUCUGUAUUUAAAAUGCGACAAAUUAAAUCUCAAUUUUUUUAUUUAAAAAUUUCGGUCUAGUUAAGUCAAAAAAAUAUUUCAGUCUAAUCAUUAAAAUCACAAGUAUUUUCUAUCAAAAUUUGUCAACUCGAAAUUUUGAUUAGUCUAUCCUCAAUGAUAUGGCAUAUGGUUUACAGAAAAUAAACAUGUUAAAUUGACAAAUUUUGGUAUAAAUUGGCAAUAACGAUAAUUAUUGGAGUAGGAUUUUAAAUUGUAAAAGUAAGAGGAUGAAAUGUCAAAUUUUAUACAAAAGGAAGUCAGAAGAUUUUUAGGAAGGUUGAAUUACAUUGCUCGAUUCAUUGCUCAACUUACCAAUCAGUGUGAUCCAAUUUUUCGACUCCUUCGAAAAUAUAAUCCAGGAAAAUGGAACGAGGAGUGCCAAGUGGCCUUUGAUAAGAUAAAACGGUAUUUGUCUAAUCCUCCUGUGCUAGUACCGCCGACCCCUGGAAAACCCUUAAUAUUGUACCUGACCGUGUUUGAGAACUCAAUGGGUUGCAUACUGGGACAACAUGAUGGGUCAGAGAAAAGAGAAAAGGCAAUUUACUACCUCAGCAAAAAGUUCACAGAAUAUGAGGCGAAGUACCCUUCAAUUGAGAAGUUUUGUUGUGCAUUGAUUUGGACUGUUCGAAGGCUCAGACAAUACAUGUUGUAUCAUACGACAUGGUUAAUUUCAAAACUGGAUCCAAUAAAGUACAUGAUGGAGUCACUUGCACUCUCAGGAAGAAUGGCACGAUGGCAGAUCUUACUGACUGAGUAUAACAUCGUGUAUGUGAGCCAAAAAUCGAUAAAGGGAAGCGCGAUAGCUGACUUCUUGGCAAGUCAAACAGCGGAAGAAUACGAACCUUUGAGAUUUGAUUUCCCAGAUGAAGACUUGAUGUGCAUUUCAGAAAAAGAGGGUGAGUCAUCAAAAAAGAAAUCAUGGAAGAUGAGCUUUGAUGGUGCAUCGAAUGCAUUGAGGCAUGGGAUCGGAGCAGUCUUAGUGUCACCAGAAGGAGAUCAUUACCCGCUCACUGCCAGAUUGAACUUCUUCUGUACCAAUAAUAUAGCAGAGUAUGAAGCUUGCAUCAUGGGACUUCGUGCAGCUAUCGAGAGGAAAAUUGAAAUCUUAGAAGUACACUGGGACUCAGCAUUAGUCAUUUACCAAAUCUGCAGAGAUUGAAAAGUGAGGGAUUUGAAAUUAGUCAAAUAUCACGAUCUCGUUACGAAAUCUGGCAGCAACUUGCACACCUACCCCGUGAUUUCCGGCCACCGGCCUAAGGCAUGGCCUCCCUCUCCCCUAGCCACCUAAUCCCUGCAAAAAGGACACGAAAAUCAGAUAUAAAUUGGGCUUAAAACCCCAAAAAUCGGAACCCCCCAUCACCAAAAAAAAAUUUUCAAAGAAAAAGAAAAAAAAGCUUUGAGAAAGAAAAAGAAAAGGAAAAGAAGAGAGAGGGGAAGAGGGGCCGACCAUCGGCGGGCCACCGGAGGAGAAAACGGCGGAAGCAAGCGGCGGUGGCGGCACCUUGGGCUUGAAGAAGAAGAAGAAGAAGAAGAAGAAAGAAAAAAGAAAAAUGAAUUUUUCUUUUUUAAAUCGGGCCGAUCCGACCCGACUCGGGUCUGACCCGACCCGAUCCGGUGACCCAACCCGACCCAGCAGUAGCCCAGCUUAGCAGGCCCAAAGAGAAGCCCAAACAAAGAAAAAAAAGAAGAAAGCAGAAACAAAAUCAAGUAGCAGGUCUGCAGCAGGCCCACUUUGCGCAGCCCAGUAGCGCAGGCCCACUUUGCGCAGCCCAGUAGCGCAGGCCCAACGCAGGCAGCCCAGCACUAGCAGCAGGCCCACCAGCAUAAGCAGGCCAGCAGCAGGCCCAGGCCCAAAAGAAACAGGCCAGAAAAAAGAGAGAAGAAAAAAGAAAAAAGAAAAAAAAGAAAAAAAAAGAGAAAAAAAGGAAAAAAGAGGAAAAAAGAGGAAAAAAGGAAAAAAAGAGAAAAAUGAAAGAAAAGUUAAAUUUGUGUAACCCGUUCGACGAAGCUCGUGUUUCGGGAUCUUUUCGGUAAUUUCGUUUAUUUCACUUUUUAAGUUGAAAUUAGUGAAUCAAAUUAUCUGAAAUUUUGAAUUGGAUAAUUGUGUGUUGAAUCUGUAAUUAGGGAUCAUUGCUACCUUCCCCUAUCUUAAGCCUCCACAUUUUCUUCCUAUUCAUGAACAAAGUCCUCAUCUUAUAAGCUUUACUCCACAACCACUAGUUGCCAUUAGUACAUGAAAGAUAAAAUAUAAGACUUUACACCUCCAUCACUAAUUGUCAUUAUUAAAUAUGAGUAUUAAAUAUGAAAGAUAAAUUUUAAGGGGAGGGUAUAUACUAGGCUGCCUAAAGGUUGGUUUGAAAUUUGAUAGAAUUUAAGUAAAAAUAUUAGGCUUAUUUAAAUAUGGUCUGAGUUCGGGUUUGAACAUUGAAGGCUUGAGCUCGAGUCAAUCCCUAAAUUACACAAUUUCUUUAUUUAAUACAUUAAUCCGUAAAAAUUCCUAAAUUAUGCUAAUUUCUUUUUUGAGCAUAAAAGCAAUUGACUCUAGGUUGAUUAAUUAAAAUUUCUUUCUAAUUAAAACCCUAUUAUCGCAUUAACUCAUGUUAUGGAUUUCCCUAUUAGAUUUGACUCUAAUUCGGUAGAUUUAUGUCAUCCUAUUUCUAGGAUUGCAUGCAACUCCACUCAACUAUACAAGAUCUACUCUUAAACAGGGUCUAUUCAACCACCGAUUUAAGCACAUCAAAUAUAAAUUAAUAAUCUAGAAAUAUCAAACCAAGAAUUAAACACACAUAAUUUAAAACAAGAAACUAAAUAUUUAUUACGUAAAAUAAAAAUCAAACGACAGAAAUCUCCCCUAGUUAUUUAGAAAAUUAGUUCAUGCUUGAAAAUGGAAACAUCCAUGAUUUAGUAUAACCAAAAGAAAUAAAGAAACUCAUGAUAACUUCCUUAAAAAUCAAUUGAGAAUCUUCAAUCUUGACGGAAAUCUGCUUCAAAAUUGGCUUCAAUGGUGUUUUUCAAGUUGUUUUCUUCAAUAUUCUAUGACGAUUCAAUCCUAUUUUGCCAUGUGGAAUGGUUCAGCCUAUGUGGCUCCUGUAGCUUGAUCUGACACUCCGAUUUUUGCUUGUUUUACACUCAAGUGCUCCAUUAAGCAUUAAAACAUGAAUUUAAGUGAUUAUGAGUAUAAAAUUCACAAUUAACAUCAAAUAAUCACUCAAAAAUGCAUUAAAAAUGAGGUUAAAUCAUGUUAGCACUUAUCAUGAUGUUAUCAAACUUUUUUUAAAAUGAAAUAGAGUCAAAAAAUUCAAAAUGCUAAUACUUUUAAAUUAUUCAGUAGUUUCAAUGGCAUGUGCUAUGCACAUGAUGUUAUCUAAUAAACUAAUUUAAUUAUUUUCACAAAAAAUAUAAUUAAAAUCAUUUUUUUAUAUUGUAUUAAUUAAUAAAAAUUUGAUAAAAUUUUAUUAAUUAAUUCGAUGUAAUUUCUAUUAGAUAUUAGCUUAUAAUUAGUUUUCAGUAUAAACAUAUACGAGUAAAUAGUUGGUAAACUGGCGGUGGAAAUUUUUAACUUCUCAAGUGGGAUCCCAAAUCUUUACCAAGAAAAGGUAAGUAAAUCUCGUUCUGAUCCUUAGAUCCCGAAUAUUUGUAGAAUUCUUAUCCAAUGCUAAUCUUACAUUCAAUUAAUCAAUCUUUUACGAUAUGGUCUGAGUUUGGGCUUGAACAUUUAAGGCUCGAGCCCGACUCAAUCCGUUUUUUAAGUUUGUAAUAUUUCAAAUUAUACUUUUUUUAUAUAUUAUUUAAUUUAUAAAACAUACGAAUUAAAUAUAUAUUAAUAUAUAAUACUACUAUAAAGUAAACAUUUAAAAAUAUUAAGAUAAUUAUAUAUAAAAUUUUGGUAAAUAAAAAUAUAUAAAUUUAUUAAAUAUUAAUUUUUUUUAAAAAUAAUAUGGGCGGACUUAAAUGGCUUAGGCUAGAUAUUUGAAAAAACAUGGGUGGGCUUGGACACAUUUUUAGACCUACUUUUUGGAUCAGGCCGAGCUUGUGCAAGCACAAAAUGUGUUAAUAUCAUUUUUGGGCAAAAUAUGAAUGUAAGCAUGAAAGUAGGAUAUUAAAACCAUGAGACAAAAAAUGUAAACAUGAUUUAAGUUAUGGUUGGAUUUCAUAUUAAAUUUAUAUGUUUAUUUUUGUUAUAAAUGAUUACUUUUUUUAAUCAUGUUAGCACCACUGAACCGUAUUGCUCAGCGUAUAGUUUUGUUCUUUCCGUGCGUAUAUCUCAAAUAAGAACUUAGUAGACUCGAAGUCAAGCAUCCAAUUUCUCCCACUCAUCUAAGAAGUCACCUCUUUGCUAUUUUGUAUGUAUAUAACUGAUUUGGGUCAUAUAGCAUUUACCGAGGUUAGUUAGUAUGUUUAAGUUAACAUUUGAUACUUUUGGCAUUAUAACCUACAAAGUUUUAAAAGUUAAGUUUUAUCCUUUGAUUAUUGAUUAUCUAUGUUUAUUUAUAUAGGUUUGAAUGUGUUAGUUGAUAGGUUAAACCUUAAUGCAUUGGAUACUAUAAUUUGAUGGUGGUUGAUUGUUUUUACAUGUGUUAAUGUGUGAUUUAGCAUUGACAUAAUAUUUGGAUAUGUUUUAGGUACAAUUAACUGGGGUUGAAUGAAUGAAAAUGUGCAUUUUAGGCCAUUUGACCAUUAAGUAUUAAGAUAAUAAGAGCAUGCCUCAAGACCGUUAGAACAAAAACCUACCUUAUUAUGCAUUUAAUUGCUUAAUUUCUCAAGACAUGUCAAAUUGGUCUCAAGACAAACUCAUCUAGUUCUCAAGACUAGUGGCAUUUGUCUUGAGACAAGGGUACUAGUAAACUUGUAAAUUUUUCUAACAGAUUGAUUAAUAAAAUAAUUCAUGGAUUACAUUAAUAUACUUUGUAUAAUGUCCCCAUGUGGUUUUUGCAAGCAAAGCAAAUAUUUGCUCAUUGGUUGUCUAAUGUUUAAACAAAUAUUAAGCGGUAUUACGUGGUCGGAUACAGAAAGAUAAUUUAGGAUCAUUUAGUCACGAAGUCAUUCUAUUAUAGUAUCAUGACUAAGCUCUCCCUAAUGGCAUACCAUUACGAAAGUAACUCGAUCAUGCUCAUCUAAUGACCUUGUUAAAAGUGUGUUACCCUCAUAGGAUAUCUUUAAUCUUUUUGGGAUAAAUUUGCUCUCCCAAUGUGAUCCUAUUUUAUCUCGUGGUAACCAUUACAUCUUCCUUCAUGAAAAGUCAAUUACUAUCAAAUAGUAAUCAAGUCAUUUAUCACAAAGAUGAAACCAUGGACAUGUUUACUUUUCAUCUAUCAUGUAAUACCAAUGAAAGAAUAUUAUUUUCUCAUGUCUUGGACUAUGAAUUUCACUAUUGUGAAUGAUGCUAUAUACCGCAGAAGUCGUAUACCCAAUGUACCAGCUUUCGGUUCCUUAUCUAUUUGAACUUGAGCUUUUACUUACCUAAAUUAUCUUUCUAUAUUCAACCAUGUAAUACCGCUUAGUAUUAGUUAAACAUUAGAUAACCAGUGAGCUAAUAUUUGCUUCCAUUUUUCUUUACAUGAAAAAACCAUUGAGGACAAUAUAUAAAAGGUAUUAAUGUAAUUUAUGAAUAAUUUUAUUAAACCAAUUUGUUCGAAUCCGAUAGGCAUGCAAUAGGGUUUGUUAUGUUGGUGGGAGCAUUAGUGCUGAGCGCAAAUUAUCAUUUGAUAGUUCUUUAAUACCCUAGGGGUCGAGAACGUAUCACUAGCUCAAACACCCUAGGAGUACGAGCGAUAUACUAGUGUGGUUGUGGUUAUCAGUGCAUUUAUUCCCGCCCAACUCUUGUCCAUAUUCUAGUAUGUUGGACUUAGUUAUGUGUCAUUUUAUUAUGCUUUAUGGUUUAAUUUAAUAAUGCGUUGAAUUUAAAUUAUGUUAGCACCAGUGAGCUUUCAAUGCUUAGUAUGUGGAUAUGUUCGUUUUUGUGCGUAGGUGAAGGUAGAUUUUGAGUGGCAUGUUAGAAUAGAGAGCAUUUUCAGUGAGUUCAUUUUAAUUUGAUUUGAAGGUGAUUGGCUUGCCACCCUCGAAAAAACCUCUUGUCACGACUACUCUCCGAAGAGGUAAACGACUGGUCAUGAAUUGUGUUCCAUUCACAUGGGUGAAGAUCAAUCCUCCUACCUCCUGGUUAAAUGCUUGUUAUUUUGUCUUGGUAUAAGUGUUUCAUGAUGAUGUACAGGUGUAUGUUUGUAUGAUUUGUUUUUGCAAUGAAAGAAUGAAUUGUUUGAUGGCCAAAAAAAAAGGUUAGGUUGUAAUUAAAAAUAAAAAAUAAAAUUUGGCACAGAACAAUUUUUUAAUUACAAUUAAAAAAUUUCACUACCAAUACUUCAAAGAAAUUACCUUAAAAUUCUUCACUAUCCUAUAAUUAAAUGUAUCAUUCAUAUUUUUAUAGGUCCAUAAAGGUUAAUCAUUUCAAAUUUUAUGACUUUCCCUCUUAACGAUGUCUCCUAACGUUGCACACAACACUAAUGUCAUUUGCUCUUUUUUUUUUUUAGCCAUCUUUUUACUUUUUAUUUUUCCUUUCACCUAUUAUUGUGGGUGUUAAUAAGAGGAUCUAGUUUAAACAAACUAAAUAAUUCAAUUGAUAAUAUUAAGAGAAAUAAACACAAAUCUCAAAUACAGAUUGUAAAACAAACAUAAAAGAUACUAAUAAUUGAAUCGAAGGUUGAACAGGUUGAGCAUUCACUUUUUGAUUGAAUUGGUUUAACAUAAUACUUCAACCACUUUGAAAAAAAAACAUAAAUUAAUAAAAGAAUCAAUAUAUAUCUUUUAAAGGAAAUUUAUAUUUAUAAAUCAAAGAUCAAAUAAACUAAAAUAUAAUGACAAUAUAAAAAAUAUAUAUAUUGCACUAUUUUAUUAGAGAAAUUAUUUGAUAUAUUAUAGUGGAACUUUUAGACUUCACAAGUAAAGUUGGAAGUUGACAAAUAUUUAAAAAAGAGAAAGAUACAUGCCAAAAUUUUAAAAUUACUUAUAAAAGAAUAUACUGUCAAAUGUACCAAAUACUCACCGAUUUUAUUAUAUAUAAAUUCUUAUAGAUAAAUUGUUUUAUUCUAAAGAUACAUAUUUUGAUGGCCAAACAUAAUUGCAAUACUCAGCCAAAGCCCACAGUGGGAAAAAGUUCCUAUACAAUGGAUAGUGUAGCAUACAAUUCUUAAAGAAAGAUCCACCCACUCCCUGCCAUUUGAUCCAAAAAAUUCAUCAUCACAAAAAUAUAUAUAUAUAUAUAUAUAUAUNNNNNNNNNNNNNNNNNNNNNNNNNNNNNNNNNNNNNNNNNNNNNNNNNNNNNNNNNNNNNNNNNNNNNNNNNNNNNNNNNNNNNNNNNNNNNNNNNNNNNNNNNNNNNNNNNNNNNNNNNNNNNNNNNNNNNNNNNNNNNNNNNNNNNNNNNNNNNNNNNNNNNNNNNNNNNNNNNNNNNNNNNNNNNNNNNNNNNNNNNNNNNNNNNNNNNNNNNUAAUUAAGUUUAGAAUAUAUAUAUAUAUAUAUAUAUAUAUAUAGUUUUGGAAUAAUACCAAAUUUUACCUUCAAACAUUAAUUUGUUAACGAUAUUGACAUGGCAGUUCACAUGUAUUUCGUGUUAACAUAACAUUAUUUAUCUUAUAUGUCACGUCAACAAAUAAUUUAAAAUUUAUAAAAAUAUUUGAAAAGAUAAAAAAAAAUUCAAAUUCAAAAAAGGAUAUAAAAAGUUCAUUUUCUUUUAAAUAGCAUGGAGUAUAUGUGGAUUGCAAUGCUAAUUUUCAUGUUUAAAAAUUUAAUAUUUUAGUUAAUUUUUUCGUUAAAAAAUAACAAUAUAAUUUUUUUUGAAAUGUUGAUGGUCAAAUUCGACUUUUAUUUUAAAAUAUUGAGGCCAAAUUUAAUUAAAUAAUAAUAACCAAAUUAAAAAUAAUGUAAAGAUUAAGGACUAAACUCGGUGUUAAGCCUUUCUUUAUUUGGGCACAUUAGGAUUAUAAGAUAAAUAGACAAUUGAAAGUAAAGCAUACCUGACCACUAAUAAUUAAACCCAUCAAAGCCUGUGCAGUAUUUACCAAAUUCGAUUCCUUUCCUUCGAUGGGUGUGUAUACCUUUUAUCAACAUGGACAAAAAAAAGUAUUUAUAUAAAUUAAAUAUAUGAAAGUAAAAAUAUAUUGUUGGUCCCUAUAUUUUGACAAAAUUUGAGGUUUAGCCUCUGUAUUUAAAAUGAGACAAAUUAAAUUUCAAAUUUUUUAUUUAAAAAUUUCAGUCUAGUUAAGUCAAAAAAAAAAUUCAGUCUAAUCAUUAAAAUCACAAGUAUUUUCUGUCAAAAUUUGUCAACUUAGAAUUUUGAUUAGUCUAUCCUCAAUGAUGUGGCAUAUGAUUGACAGAAAAUAAAUAUGUUAAAUUGAUAAAUUUUGGCAUAAAUUGGCAACAACGAUCUAGAAUUUUAAAUUGUAAAAGUAAGAGGAUGAAAUCUCAAAUUUUAUACAAAUACAGGGACUAAUAGAUAAUUUCACCAUAUGAACAAAAGGAAAUCUUUAUUAAAUAUUAAUUACCUUUUUGGGACAAGAAAGGUGACUCUCUCCCCAACCACCAUCUUCUCUUUGGGUUUUAAGCAAAAAAUCAACUCCUUUCCUAAUAGCCAAACAAUUUUUGAAGUUUUUACCAACAGCUUUAAGACCUGAUAGUGCAAACCAUGUCCCAUAAAAGAAGCAAACUCCCCAAUUUCCAUACCUACACACACAUAUAUAUAGGAAUUAUAUAUCCAUCCCAUCAAAUUUCAUGUUUUGAAGAAAUGAAAAUGCCUUAUUAAGUCCUUACCAAGAACCAUCAGGAUAUUGCAUAUCUUCAAUGUACUUUGCAGCUUUUCUGAUGCAACUUUCAAUCUCUUGUUCUCUAUGCCCUGGGUAUAAUUUGUUGAAAAGAACUAGUGCCUGGAUUGAAGCUGAAGAGCACUCUACAUACCUGGAGUUUACAUUUGUUUUUUUUCUCCAUUCAUUAAUAUAUAAUUUUAUAAAUUGGUUUAUUUUACAUUAAAUAAUUAAUGAAAUUUAUUAAGGGAAAAGAUAAGCCUCUUACUCAUGUUCUUUAACUAUAUCCUCUAGAAACUCGACUGGAUUCAGCCACUAAAAAGAUAAUUUAAGGUGAAAAGUUAUUGAUAUAUGUAUGCAUAUAUAUAAAGACUAAUCCAAAUAUUGAAAUAGUUAUUACCUCCCACCAGAAUCCACCUCCCGCUGGCUCCCAAGCUGAGAAACCACCAUUUUUGCUCUGCAAUCAUUUGUAUCAUAGAAUAUACUUAAGACCAAGAUAUUCAUCAUAUAAGGACAAAUUAAAAUAAUUUGACAUUGGUAUGAAUUAAUUAUUGGUAUUCAGAGAAGGCUUCACCUCAGAAAAUGGUAAACUUACCAUAGAGAUUCUUUAAAUUUUAUCAAAUCAUAAUAAUUUAUUAUUUAAUUCUAAAAUUAUACCUUCCCCUACAAAAAUUAUUAUUCAUUUUUUUAGUUCCGCUAAAGUCCCUAUUGGUAUUACAAUCUAUACCUGUAAAGAUAGAAGAACAUUGACAGCAUCAUAGACAUGCUCUCUUUCCAUUUUCUCACCAACCAUUUCAGGUGCCAUCAUUGAAAAAUAUAGGCAACACUGCAAAAACAGUUUUUUAAGCAAUAAUUUCCAAUUGCAAAUUUGUUUCAAAUUCAAAAUGCAUUGUGUUUAAUUGUAACUAAAACAAAAUUACCUUUAAACUUUCUGCAGUACAAUCAGAAAGUUGCCAUCCAUGAUCACGAUUAGAGAACGUCCAUGAUCCUUUAGAAAUGUGUCUAAACAUUUUUUUAAAGUCUCCCGGAGGAUUAUCCCUAACCUUAAAAUUUUCAACCAAACCUUUCAACCAUCAACUCUAACUGAAGAUUGGAAAAAGUAAAAUAGAAGUAAUUAAGAAACCAAAACAUUAAACCUGUGAGUUCUUUAAGAAAUUGUGCCCCUUCAUCAAUGUAGGUCCAAUUUCAUUAGAUAAAUUGCUAGCAAGCAAAGCUUGGAGAAUAAAACUAGCAUCCCAAACUUGACUACCAAAGCUCUGCAUGGUGAAAUAUUGAAAAUAUACUGUAAAAAUAUCUCUAUGGUUUCUCUUAAUUUUGAUAUUGAACAAAUUGGUCCUUUUUUAAAAAAGAAUCAAAGCAAAUUAAGUUUGAUCAAUUUCGAAAAUGAGCAAGUAAGGAUAAUUAAUCAUAACGUUAAUAUUUUUCGUCAAUUGUACAUAUAUUUUACUAGUAUAAUAACAAAUUUAUCCCGCAACAUUUACACAUUUUAACGACAUUUUAUGUAAAAUAUAUAAACUUUGAGGACUAAAUUUGUUAUCAUACUGAUCAAAAUUAUGUACAAUUGACAGGAAACAUUAAUGCCAUGAUUAAUUGUCCUUAGUUGCUCACUUUCAAAAAUUGCUCAAUUUUAAGGGUUAAAGUUGUUAUUAUACCAACAAAAAUAUGUACAAUUGUCAAAAAUGUUAUUCUCAAAAUUGAUAAAGAUUAAAUUACUUUAAUUAUUUUUAGAGAGAAAUUAAUUAAAUAUUGAAAGUUUAAUUAAUUCAACAUUUAUAGUGUUUUUAUAAUUAGCAAACCUGCAUCUUUAUUCCAUCUUCUCCAACCCAAACAUAGUCAUCAACCCUAGAAAGAUGCUUCUUAAAGUGAAUUCCAUUUGGAUCUUCAACCCAACAAGCUAGCAUACAUAAAGGCUGCCCAAUGUAUUAUCAAAUUUUAAUUAGUUAAAUUAUUAGCAAGCACUAUAUAUAUAAUAUUCAAAAUCAAUUCUAAUUGAAUUGGGUUACCUUUUCCACACAUCCAAUAGUAAUAUAUUGACUGCUUUCAUCUUCAUAAUGAAUGAGAUCCAUUGUUAUUUUAAGAGCUUUUUCUCGUAACUUAUUAAAGGGCCAACAAUUAAGGAGAGGCUCUGAAACUAUGUAAAGACUAUCCCAGAGCAAUAUUUGAAGCCGUGUAUGAGGGUAAUAAAGAUCUUCCUGCAUGCCAUGUAUAAAACAUUUUUUCAUUUACAUUUUAACUAUAAAUAUUGUGGCAUAAAUUAUGAUUAUAGAUUUUACCUUUGCACAUAAAUGCCGCUUUGUACUCCAAUCGAUUUCAUUAUAUGGUUCAAUGUGGAGUUCUUCUCUUAAUUGUGAAAUUAGAGGUGUGAUUGGACCCACAAAUUUUCUUCCGUACAAAUACGACAUUGGCAUGUACGUUAAUCGACAGUAACAAAACAUCUUUGCUGCAUUAGAAUAUCAUCAUCGUUAAUAUAUACAAUUAACUUUGCAUAUCUUAUGUUGUACUCCGGUUUAAUAUUUAAAUAAUAAAAUUCAAAAUGAUUCAAUAUUAAAAUGAUCCGAAUUCUAAAAUUUUAAUACUCGAAAUAAUACAUAUUUUGAAUUAACCACAAACAAAUAAAUAUUGCAAACCUGGAUGAAUGGGAAAAUAAGAAGGAAAGAGCCAAAAUUCUGGAGGCAUUGGUUGGCAACCUGACCAUUCAUAAACACCGAGUAUCUACAACCAAAUUAAAUAGAAAUAUAUAUUUAAUAUAAAAAGAAUUAAGUUUGAUGGUAAAUAUUGUUGUAAAAAAAAGGAUGACAUACUGAAAGCCAAGUCUUCCCCCAAGAAGAAAUGGUAGUGACACCCCCACGAUCAAGAAUCCAUUUUCGGCCUCUCUCACAAGCAUUAUUGAGGCCACCAUCAGGUCCUACUCCCAAUAAACGCAUACAAAUGUAGUUGAGAGCUGUGCAAAACAUUGUGCUGUGACCCCCUAUAUAUAAUCCCCAUCCUCCAUCCUCAUUCUGCCAUGCAAAUCCAAGUUUUAAUAUUUAUUAAUACUAGUCCACUAUUUAAUGCAUGUACACCUAAUCAUAUGUCAUAUAUACUCAAAUGAAGAACAGAGAUACCGUUCGUUUAUUUAGGAAAAAAAAUCAAAUUUAUAACCUGAUGGCAGUAAAUAUAACGGAGAAUUUCUUUGCGAUAUUCUGAUGAGAAUUUGGUAUUGAGAUGCCCUGUGAUAUAUAAAGACAUGACCUGCAAAUAUUAGGAUAAGAUUUGCAUAAAAAUUUGUGAUCUUCUGCAAGGGAAAUUAGAAGAAAUAUAUAUAGAUAUAUAAUAUGAAUAAAUGGAAAGGAAUAAGAGGAAUGACCAAAGGAGCAGAAAAAAACAUAGGGCCAGAAUUCUCAGCUGGCCAGUGGCCAUGUAUUGAUUGUAGAGCUGAAAAUAAGUGCACACUUCUGUUCACUGCUGCUGUUGUAGCUUCAUGUGUCACUUCUUCACCAUCCUCUAUUUUCGGUUGGGGAAUGGUUUGUUUCAUCUUUUUCUCUUUUAGAAACUGCAUACAACAAACAUAAUUUAGCUAUAACGAGUCUUUCUAGGUAUUUUUCAUCCAAGUUUUAGUAUGUGAAUUGAUUGAGAAAAUAAAAAGAAAGAUACAUUUUACCAUUAUAUAUAUAAUUGUAUCGCCUCAAACAUAUUUAAUUUAAUUAUUAUUUGUUUAAGUGGUUAAGUGAUUUGUGUGUGUUUGAGGUUAUAGGCUUUUGACUUAAAGUUUAAUUCCCACGCAAGUUUUGAAAAUGAUGAGUUUGUUAAUUUAGAGGUAAGGUGUUAGCUUACCUUUUCAUAUUUUGUGUCGUUCGCAUGGUAAGGUUCGAAGUAAAUUUGAAUUUUGAGGGAAUUUGAGUAGUUAUUAGAAAAGGGAUUAUAUUGUUCUUUUAUUAAUUUCUUACAAAUACUAUUCCGACAAAAGAAAUUUUAUUAUAAAGAGAUCGAAUAGAUAUUUUUAAAAAAAAUUAUGAUCAAUAUUUUCAAUGUUAUUUUUCUCGGUACAUAAUUAUCGAGUGAAUUUUCUUUUCAAUUUCAAAAUAUCACACUAAAGAAUUUAGUAGAAAAACUUUAACAAUGGUUACAAUUGAACCUCAAAUUUAAAUCCAAAAAGUAAAGGACUCCUAAAAAUGAAAACAAAGACUAAAUUUUAAAUAUAAAAAAUGUAUAAAGACUUAAAACAUAUUUUAACCUUCAAACUUUUACUUUAUAAUUUGUGACAAAUAAAAAAUCAAUCAACUUAAAAUUUGUAGCUGAGAAUGGCAAUGUUGAUUAUUAAUUUUAAAGUAAAUUAUAAUACAAAAAGUUAGAAUAAAUUAAUAUCAUAUAACAUCCAUUUCAAGAUAAUUUAUUUAGUAAUUGCUAAAUUCCAGUAAUUUAGUAAUUUACAUGUUUAGGUAUAUUUUAAUUGUGUUGAUAAUUCUCACAGGAAGUCUAGAUGUUCCUCUAUUUGUUUAUUUUUGUUUCUACACAUUUAAUUUUGAUUUUAUCCCAUUUGAUGAUUAUUUUUGCUUUUCAAGGAAAACUUUUCAUGCAUUUAAUUCAUUUAGCAAUAAUUUUCUAGAACUUUUCCAAGGUUUGAUGUUCCAUUUUUAUUCUCAAUAAAUUAUAUAUGUAAUUUAUCUCAUCAUUUGAUUUACGAAUAAUCAUAAAAUUGUAACAUUCUUUUUAUAAAAUAACCUUAUUAUUAAAAAGUUAAAAUGAUCAACGCAUUAUAAUCCAGUAAUACGCAUUAGAAAAAAAUCCAUCGAACUUGAAUGCAUACAAGUUUAAUAAUUAGGUUUGAGUUCAAAUUUAAGUACAAAAUUUGAUAAACAAUAUUAAUAGAGCUUAAACUUAAGAUUAAAUAGUUCAAUUAUAUUUGGAGUCGAGCUCGAGUUUUAAAAAUAAUGUUUUAAUUUAAAUCAUAAAAUUAAGAAAUUCACCAAACAUAUCUAUAACUUUUCCAAGUGAAAAGAAAGUUUAAUGAAAUUGUAUUGUUUCCAAUGUAAGAGGACGUGGAUUCAAGUGUGUUGAGAGCGCAUUAUCUUUCUAUUUAUGUGUUGCGGAAGGGUUAUAGAUAAUUUUAGAUAUUGUGUAAAAAAAAAAACAAAGCAUGUAAGUUUAUAUAUGCUCAAACAUGCAUAUACCAACAUGGAAACACAUCAAACAAACAAAACUAGACGAUUCGAGUGACUAAUCCAAUUUAUUUUUCACAUUCAUAGGAGUUCGACUAUAUUUCUACUUUACCACUAUGAUAUUUUCUGAACAUUUCUAACAUUAUUUUUAUUGAAUUUAGAAACAAAUGUAACGAAUUAACCAUAAUUUUCUUUCCAUUUAGAUCUCAUCUUACUAGUAUCACUAGAAAUUGGUAAAUAUUUUUAAUACUAACUUUUCCUAUAUUAGCUGUAGUCCAUCCUUUUCGGAAUUGAUUGACAACAAAGUUUUAUUUAUUUUUCUCUUUAAAAGUAUAGCAUGUCUUACCAUUACACUCAACUACUUAUUGAUAACGUGUUACUUUUUUUAUAUCUUUAUUACCAACAACAUAAAAUAUUUAACUAAUGAUUUUGUAUUAGAUCAUGAACAUGAAGUAUUUAACUUUCAUGACUUAUUAUUGGAGGGACUAGUUUUUGACUUUUUAUUGAAUAGGUUUUAUUAUUGAAAUAUAUAAUGGGAAAUUAUUAAGUGGAUUUUUCUAUUAUUGAAAUAUAUUAAUUUAUUGUUAUAUCAUGGCAAAAUGAUAUACCUGCAAUCGCCAGAGAAGAUCAGAACUAGGCUGAACAUUGAACCGAUUGUUGUAGAAGUUAAGACGAGCUUCUUCAACCUCAGCUCGUUCUUCAUCUGUGCCUGCAUUUGGAUCAAACUCCCAUGUUUGUCUUCCCAGAAAAUUAUUGGUACUCUGAAGGUAAGGAUCAUUACCACCUUCCCCUAUCUUAAGCCUCCACAUUUUCUCCCUUUAUUUAUUCUUUCACUACCAAUUCAAGAAUGGAACUGUAAGUGAUAAUUUAGUGGGUCGUAGUUAAAUGUAGAAAAUAGGAAUGAAAAUAUGGUUACCAUUUUAUGAUAAAAACCUCCCGCUUAUAUAUAGACUUUGACAACUGCUAGCUACUUGCCAUUAUUGAAUACAACAAUUUAUAUUUAUAUUUAUAUUUAAUUAUUUAAAAUCAACCCCUACAUAAUUUAUUAAUCAAAAUUAAUAUUUGAUUUAAAUUAUUAUUAUUUAAAAUUUUGGUUUAAUUUUAUACUUAAAUAACAAUUUUUGUCAUUGAUAUCUUCACCUACAUAAUUUUAAUUAAUAAUAAAAUUAAUUAUUUUAAAUUUAUAAAUAAUAUAUAUCUUUCAAAUAAUCUUAUUUAAAAAUUUUAAUAUUUUAUAAAAAUUAAAUUUAGAACAAUUAGUAUGCCAUUAUUUUUUAUUGCUAAAUUUUUAUUACUGCUAUCGAAGUUAUUACUUACAUUUAUAUCUCAACUACUCGAAUGAUACCAAAAGAAGAAGAAAAUAAAGAUCAGAAACUAUUGCAAUUUGCAGGUCUCCAACAACUUGGGAAUUGACUUGUUCGCCCUAUAUCUAUGACAAGGUACACAAUAAAUUAACUUCUCAAACAUCUUACAUAAAUUCACCAAAACUAAUUUUUUUUAAACAAAAUAUAUUUUUUCAAUUCAAUUUGGUAAUUAAAUUUAUUUUCCCACUUAUACGUUUUUUUCAUUUUACUGCCUGAAUUUAUAAUUAGAUUUAUUUUUAUUUCUAAACUUGAAUUCCGUCAAAAUUUAAUUAUAUGAACAGUGUUUUUAGAAUAUAACUAAAUUGAUUGAUCGGAUCUAUUUGAUAAAAAAACUAGUCGGUAUAUUAAUCCGAUCGAACAAAGAAGUUUAACCGAUUGAAUCAAAAACUACUCAAAACCCAUAAAAAUAGAAAAUUAUGUCAAAAACUAAUAGUCGAAUAUGUUGACUAGUUUAAUUUUUUAAAAUAGAAAACAUUAUGAUUAUCUAUUUAAUUUUUGUUAAUUUAGCUGUUAAAUUGAUCAAACUAAUUGAAUCAAGAACAGUAAUAUGAUCGGUUUAAUCAUUCCUUCAAUUAUUAGAAUAUGAUCUCUCCCCCAUCCUUUGGCUUCCCAGUGGUCGAUGGUGUCUUUUCUUGAGUUGGGCCAGGGCAUACUCUUUAGCAGAGGCAUUCAUGCCGACGACUGGUGGGACCACCGUGCUUCUUCCUUCCUCGACAUCCCUUGGCGUUCCCUAAACCUCCUCCUCCGAUUACAGAGGUUGAGGAGCUUUUUAGGAGCUGGGUUUUACUGGUAAUGUUUGAAGCUGGGACCUUUGGUUUUUUGGGGCCUGAUUUUUAUUACUGUAUCUAUGGGCUUUCUGGGCCACUAUUGUACUUAUUCCCAUUCUUUAAUGAAUGUUUUAUGUUGGAAAGAAGGCAUACUCAUUUGACCCCUAAACUAUACAAUUUUUUCACUUUAGUAUCCAAUCUUUUUUCAUCUAACUUUCAUAUUUUCUGAAGUUUGGAUGAUUCUGUGUAAAAAAAAAUUUUCGUUAUUUGACAAAUUUUCCUAAAAUCAUUUUUCACAUGUUCUUAAUAAAACAAACACAACUUGAAACAUGACACAUAGCUAUACUAGUUAUUUUAAUUUAGAAUAAAUUAAUAUCAUAUAAAAUCUAUUUUAAUUGUGUUGAUAAUUCUCGCAGGAAGUACAGAUGUUCUUCUAUUUUGUUUAUUUUUGUUGGAUUUGAUGAUUGUUUUUGCUUUUCAAAGAAAACUUUUCAGUGCAUUGAAUUCAUUUUAAUCCUCCUGCAGUUUACAGCUAGCAAUAAUUUUCUGGAAAUUUUUCCAAGGUUUUGGUAUUAUUCACCAUUUUCAGACUUUCGUGUUUGAUGUUCCAUUUUUAUUCUCAAUAAGUUAUAUCUAAGUUAUCUUUAAAUUAUUUUGGACUUUAAAUUUUCUUUAGAUUUAUUUUUAUUUAAUUUUAAAUAUACUCUAGAUAUUAAUACAUACCAUUGCGCUCUUCAAUAUUUGAUUAUUAUUAUAGUUUAUUCGAAUAUAUAUUACUUAUAACUAUAAUUAUAUUUAUAAAUUUUAAAAAAUUAUUAUUUAAUUUACCAAUAAUGUUUAAUUUUAUGUAUCAUGUCGAUUGAGUUUUAACUUAAUUGGUAUGAGUAUUGUUGUGAAUGCAGGAGGACGUGAGUUUAAGUACAUUGGAGUGUAUUAUCCUCUUAUUUAUGGGUUGCAGAGAGACUAUGGAUAAUUCUAGACAUUAUGUCAAAAAAAUAAAUAUGAUCAUAAACUAUAGUGAGAUUUUUCAAAAAAAAAUUAUGUAUCAUUAACGGACUAAAAAUUGAUAUUCUAAUCAUUUUUUAAACAAUAUAUCAUCAUUUGAUUCAUAAAUAAUAAAAUUGUAACAUUUUUUUAUAAAAAACCUUAUUAUUAAAAAGUCAAAAUGAUCAACGCAUUAUAAUCCAGUAAUACACAUUAUAAAUUCAUCAAACUUGAAUAAAUACAAAUUUAAUCGAAUUCACAAAAAUUUAACCGAAUUCAAACUAAAGUACGAAACUUGAUAAACAAGUUUAAUAGAAUUUUAAUUUAAGCUCAAAUAGUUUAAUUAUAUUAAAGUUGAACUCAAGUUUAAAAAUAAAUAUUUAACCGAAGUUACUUUGAGUUAAAAAAUAAUAUUUUAAUUGAAAUCAUAAAAUUAAGAAAUUGAAUAUCAAUUUUCUUCUUCACCAAACAUAUCUAUAACUUUGUGAAAAGAAAGUUUGUUGAAAUAGUAUCACUUCAAUAACUAUAUUUUCUUCAGGAUUAAUAUUUUAAUACUUUUUAUCCUAUCAAGGCAAUUGCCAGAGAAGAUCAGAACUAGGCUGAAGAUUGAACCGAUUGUUGUAGAGAUUAAGACGAAAUAAUAUGGCAUUAUUUUUAUUGUUAAAAUUUUAUUACUUUUAUAAAACUCGUUCACAGUAAGUGUGUAAUUUAAGUAUUUGAAAUAUUUAAAUUUAUAAUUUAUUAAUAUUAUUUAAAUAAUGUAUUAUGUAGAAAUUAGGGGUUUACUUGCUUAGCAAACAAAAAAUGUGACUAAAAUGUUACUUGAAAUUGUAGCUACAGUUUCAAUCACAAAACCAGAAGUGCUAAAAAAGCAAAGAUGAACACCAAGGUUGUUUACACAGUUCGACCUGAGUUUAUGUCUGUGGAGCCUUCCCUAGAGCAAUUGAUGUAUGUUCACGUGACUAACUAAAAAUACGACAAAGGCAAAUGCACCUAUCGAUAAAUAGUGUAGCUACGGUGAGUAAAAAUAUCGUAUCCACAAGGACUAAAAGUAUUAGUAAUUAUUGUUUUCCUAAUAUUCAGCCGACAAAUUGGAGUGAUUGUUUUAAACUAAGAUUUACUAAAUUAACCUAACUAAAUAACUCAACAGAGAGUGAAUCAGGAAAAUAAUCGAAUAAUAACCAAUGAGAGAAAUAAUACCUAGGAAAGAAUCUACCUAGACUUCAUCUAUUAUUAUGAAUCUAAUUUAAACGAUUUAUUCACUUGGUAUCUUGAUCCGUAGAAAUCUCUAAAUUAUGCUAAUAUCUCUUUCGAGGGUAAGAGCAAUUGACUCUAGGUUGAUUAAUUGAAAAUUCUUUCUAAUUAAAACCCUUAUUUUCGAAUUAACUCGAUCUAUGGAUUCCCCAAUUAGAUUUGACUCUAAUUCGGUAGAUUUAUGUCGUCCUAUUUCUAAGAUUGCAUGCAACUCCACUCAAUUAUGCUAGAUCUACUCUUAAAUAGAGACUUUUGCUCCUCCGAUUAAGCACAUUAAACAUGAAUUAAUAUCCCGAAAAUAUUCAAACAAGAGAUAAGCGCACAUAACUAAGAACAAGAAUUAAAUAUUUAUCGCAUAAAACAGAAAUUAAAUCAUAAAAUUCAUCAUAGGGUUCAUCCUCCCUAGGUAUCUAGGGAAUUAGUUCAUAAUUGUGAAUAAAAACAUCUCAAAGUCAGAAUAAUCAUAAGAAAUAAAGAAACUCAUAAAAACUUCAAGAGAAAUUAAAAGGAGGUCUUUAGUCUUGAUUGGAAAUUCGCUUCAGUGUUGGCUCCCAUGGAGUUCUUCGAGUUGUUUUCUUCGAUAUUCUCUGAUGACUCCCUAUUCUCUUAUUCUAUUUGAUAUUUAUAUUCUUUAGAAUGCCCAGAAAGCCUAAAAAUUAUAAUUUUCCGCGUGUUUGGGAUGCAAGUCGCGAAAUUGACACGGUCUGGCACAUCUAAAUGGCUCACACGGCCGUGUGUCCAACCCAUGUGGGAAAGCCCAGGUCGUGUGGCUCUUGAAAUAAGCUUUAUUUGUCCAAUUUUCGCUUGUUUUUCGCUUCUUUUGCUUCCAAAUGCUCUCCUAAGUAUAGAAACAUGAAUUCAAAGGAUUAUGAGCAUAAAAUUCACCAAUUUGAGUAAAUAAUCAUCCAAGAACACAUUAAGAAUAUUUUACUUUUAUCACUUAUUAGCAAUGAUCCACUAUCUUUCUCAUAGUAUAACAAAUGAUUUAAGUCCUAACACUAGUCUAACACUUACCAAUUUAGUGACCUCACCGUUGUACAAAAACUAGAUCACUCUCCCACUAAGCUUCCCCCUCGAAAACUUAGUUUUGCAAUCCGAGAGACUAUCUUGAUUCCUCACAAAAACAAUGCACACAUAAAUAUUUCUAACAUGAACAAAUUUGUGCUCUCUUAAAGUUUUUUUUUCCCUAUCAGAUACCCUUAUUCUAAGCAAACUUAAGUUUAUGUAGUACUUAAGUUUUGUUUACAUAAGAUUAUAUUUUAAUUGUUUUUCUAUAAAGUAAGGCUAAAAACCAGCAUAAUAUAAUACUUCAAUAAGAGUAUUGAUGUAAUAUAAUGUCCUAAACUAUAGAAUGUGACUUUACUUAUUCCGCAAGUAACCUGACUUAAUCUGUAAUAAACCAAUCUUCAAGUCUUCAAUUUUAACUCAAGUGGUCUUCAUGCGUUGGGUUUUACUCGUCCAAAUAUUUUCAUAAUAAUUAGCCCAAUGCUUUUGUUCUACAAUUUGUUAACUCUUCAAAUAGGCAAGGCAAUGAAAUAGUGCCUAAGGUUGUGACAACUGUUUCAACCACAAAAACAACAAUAGAAUUAAUCUUGUCUUUAAAUAUGUCAACACUCUCCCCUUUUGGAAUUUCUGAACAAAACAUAUACAAGAAAAAUAAAACAAUCAUAAUUACAUAUUAUUCCCCUAGGUAUCUCCCCCUUAAUCAAAGUAUCAGACAUUGAGGAGGCUAAAGAUAUCGAUGACAUGAGGACUAAUGAGUUAAUUGUAACACCCUAAACCCAACCUAAACAUUACGCACAGAUCUAAAAAAGUUACCAUGAUUCAAUUUGAAAAUCCAAAAAUUAGUUGGGCUUGUAGAAAUAGCGCUAGCUUUUGAUAAAAGUAAUUUUGAUUUAUUUUAAAAGAAAAUAUCUUUCUUACUCAAUUCAUUAAUCUUGUCAAUUAAAUUUAUACCUUAAAAACACUUACGUUUGUAGUGAAACUCUUAGUUAAAUUCAAUUUUGAAAAUGUAGUUUGAUUUUGAAAAUCCAAUGUUUUGCUAAUAGACUGAUAUAUAGACUUUGAAACAAUAUUAUUUAGAAAUUUUAAAUAUUUAAUAGUUUUAUAAAAUUAAAUUUAGAUACAUUGAUAUGACGUUAUUUUCUUAUUAUUAAAUUUUAUUACUUUUAUAAAAACUCGAAUAUAGUUGAGUGUGUGAUUUAAAUAUUUUAAUUUAUAAAUUACUGAUAUUAUUUAAAUAAUGUAUUGUGUAGAAACGAGGGGAUUACUUACUUAGCAAAUUCAAAUUGUGGCUAAAAUGGUUCUUGGAAUUGUGGCCACAAUUUCAACCACGAAAUUAAAAGUGUAGAAAAAAUAAAGAUGAACACUGAGAUUGUUUAUGUAGUUUGACUUCGGUUUACGUCUGUGGAGCCUUACCCAAAGCAAUGAUUCACUACCCUUCUCAUAGUACAACCAAUUAUUUAAGUCCUAACAUCAGUCUAGCUCUCACUAAUUUAGAGAUCAUACUGUUGUACAAAGACUAGAUCACUCUCCCACUAAGCUUCUCCCACUAAGCUUCUUCCACGAAAACUUAGUUUUGCAAUCCAAGAGACUCUCUUGAUUGCUCACAAAAAUAAUGCACACAAAUAUUGUGAUCUCUCAAAGUUCUUUUUCCUCUAUUCGAUACCCUUAACCUAAGCAAAACUUAAGUUUAUAUAGUACUUAAGUUAUGUUUACAUAAAAGUUAUAAUCUAAUCACUUUUCUAUAAAGCAAGGUUAAAAAUCAGCAAAAAUAUUUUUUUUUCAUCUAUUCAUUGCUACAUUUUCAACAAUACAUAUUUUUUUUCCUUUAAAGAAUAUUAAUAAAACAAAUAUUUAGACAUACGGCGGGUAUAUGACCAAUGAUAUUUCAUAUCACAUUGCUAAGAUAUUUUAUAUCUACCCUUUGAAGGUUUAUCUUGAAAACUCUAAUCGUUCUUGUCGAAACCAUCUUUUGCAAAACAAAAAAUUUUAGGUUGUCAACUUUUUUAAAAAAUUAAAAUUGGGAGUCGCCACCAAUCUUUAUUAGGGUGUGAUUGGAUCACCUAAAAAACAGCUUUGGUCUACGAGUUUUAGAAAAACGGAUCCGGGAGUCAGUUACAUAUGAGGAAGGAUUAGCACCCUCGUAACGCCCAAAAUUGGUACCUAGUUAAUUAAUUAGUGUCUUAAGGUCGAGAAUUUGGAAAAAACGUAAUCCUUAGCAAAACUUAAAAGGCUACGUAUUAAGACCCUUAUUAUUUCAGAGAAAGAAGAUACCACACCCAAUGCGUUAGGGCACAGCAUUCUAAUUUUCCCCAAAAUGAAUUGGGCCAAAAUACUUGUACAAUAAAAUUUUAAAAGAAGAUCCACUUAUCCAAGAUUUAAGAAAUCACACCCAAUACGUUAGGGCACGAUUCCUCUAAAAUCCCAAACUCGGAAUAUUUCAUUUACUUUAAAAGAACAUCCACUUAUCCAAGAUUUAAGAAAUCACACCCAAUACGUUAGGGCACAAUUCCUUUAAAAUCCCAAACUCGGAAUAUUUCCUUUAUUGUUUUUAGAAAAAAAAUUCAUUUCGAGAAAUCAAUGCGUCACAUCCAAUACGUUAGGACACAACGUGUUGAAUUCCCAAUAAUGAAUUCUUAUUUUUUAGUUAAAGAGAAAUGCUCGAUUGUUAGACUUAACGAAGAAAAUCGGAACCCAAUACGUUAGGGCUCAAUUUCCUUGAAAAUCCUAAAUUCAAGCAUUCUCUCAAUUUUGAAAAGUUUGAAAUCGAGUAAAGAAUGAUGUGAUGCUAUAUUAAAUAUACAAUGCAAUAAUAAAUAUUACAAUGGCCUAGAAANNNNNNNNNNNNNNNNNNNNNNNNNNNNNNNNNNNNNNNNNNNNNNNNNNNNNNNNNNNNNNNNNNNNNNNNNNNNNNNNNNNNNNNNNNNNNNNNNNNNNNNNNNNNNNNNNNNNNNNNNNNNNNNNNNNNNNNNNNNNNNNNNNNNNNNNNNNNNNNNNNNNNNNNNNNNNNNNNNNNNNNNNNNNNNNNNNNNNNNNNNNNNNNNNNNNNNNNNNNNNNNNNNNNNNNNNNNNNNNNNNNNNNNNNNNNNNNNNNNNNNNNNNNNNNNNNNNNNNNNNNNNNNNNNNNNNNNNNNNNNNNNNNNNNNNNNNNNNNNNNNNNNNNNNNNNNNNNNNNNNNNNNNNNNNNNNNNNNNNNNNNNNNNNNNNNNNNNNNNNNNNNNNNNNNNNNNNNNNNNNNNNNNNNNNNNNNNNNNNNNNNNNNNNNNNNNNNNNNNNNNNNNNNNNNNNNNNNNNNNNNNNNNNNNNNNNNNNNNNNNNNNNNNNNNNNNNNNNNNNNNNNNNNNNNNNNNNNNNNNNNNNNNNNNNGAAACAAGUAUACAUAUAUAUAUAGCUAAAAUAUAUAAUACAUAUGAAAUAUAUAUAAUAAUAAUAAUUACAUUAACAAAAUUAACUAAUUUUAAGAAAAAUAUAAAAAGGAUUAAAUUGAACUACAAGUAAACAAAUUUGGGGUAAAUCUGCAAAUAAAUAAAAUUUGGAGGACUAAAUUGAACGAGCGAAUUACAUAGAGGGGCUGGAAGGGAAAUUUUCCCUUCUCCUCUAAAACGGUGUCGUUCAAAAGGAUUAAAUUGGAAUUUAAAAUAAAUAAAAGGGUAAAUUAAAAAAAUAAAGAAAACUUAAUUACAAAAACAUUAAAAGGCAGAGGGGCUAAAUAAAAAAAUAAAUAAAUUUGCAGUGGUAUCACCUUCUCCCUUUUUUAAAAUCGUGAAUAAGUAUUAGUCCUGUUUCAGGCUCUUGUAUUAUUUAGAAACUUCUAGAGUAAUAUGCAAAACUUCCUUCGUGAAAGUUUUAUUAGUCCAUUGAUCAUUAUUCUAAUGCAACAUGCUUGCAAAAAGAACAAAACGAUGGAUGAAAUAGAGAUAAUUCUGAGCAUAGCUUGAAAUAAAUAAAUUAUCAAAGAUAGUAAAGAAGAAUAACAAAGAGAUUAAUUGUGAAUACAUAUCUUGGAAACAAAUGAAGUGUUCCGAGAAUAACAAAUUUAGUAUAAAUAAUAUGAAUAUUGGGUGCCCCAGAUAUCGCAGCUUGAACUUCUCUGUACAAACUUUUUUUGAAGAUCCAUCUGAGUUUGACAUGUGUUUAGGAGAUCCACAGUACUCUGUCAAUGCCCCAAGAUGUUGCCUACCUUUUCUUGAUAAUUCUGGUAUAACAAGAUCACCACAUGCCCCAAUCUAGUUAAAAUUUAAGUUGCUCUAAUCACCUCGUGCCCCAUUCGGAUCAAUAUUUGAGCCGCCCUUUUCGGGUUUUUAACUCAAAUCCCCUUUGGUCUCAAAGUGCCCUUUGCGGGUUUUCACUUUGGCCUCUCCAUUUUCCUUUUUUUUUUGAAUCUGAACUCAUAGGAUUAGACAAGUCUUCGUUAUCCCUUUCGAUCAUAACCAAUAUAAAAUCUUCUUUGUGAUCAAAUUUCUUUGAUAGAGCCUUUUGGGGCAUAAUUUUAACUAUGACGAAAACUUUGGAUCUUCCUCUUCAACUAAUAUGAAAUCCAACAACGAAGAAAUGACAACUUGACUUCAACGGGCUAAACCAUUAUGAGCCAAAGAAGAAGGCAUUGCCCCGGCAAAGAAUGCAUCGUUCAUGAUGUUAAUCUUGAACAUACUGUAAAAUUUUUUUGAUAUUGCAUUGUUGUUCAGAUUACAAUGUCAAUGCAUACCCAAGCAUGACCAUACGAAGACAUCUUUGAACUCUUUGAAGUAACUCAACAAGGUUCUACUUCAUUUCUUCGGUUAUGCACGUUCCCUUAAGGUCACAAUCUCCAUUGUCUCCUCAUGAGGUAAGAUUUCAUUCCUGUUCGACCAUCUGUAACAAGUCUGAAAAUAGGCUACAAUCUACACCAUCUUUAAAGUCAUGAGAUCCCUCUAAACACAUAUCCCACUAAAAGGAACUUCUGAAUCCGUAACAGCAUCACUCAUGUCGUUGAUAUCUGGGGACCCAUAAUAGGUACCAAAGAAUAUACAAAAGAAUGUAUGAAUAAUCAUUUGUACAAUUAUGAAUGAAUAAUUAUUCGAAAAGAAUGAAAGAAUAUUGGCUUAAAAAAUGAAUGCAAAGAUGUAUUUUAUUAGAAUAACAACGUUCAGACAUGAGCCUAUUUCAUAAAGGAAUUCUUAUUGCCUCUAGGCUGAAGGCAACAAGUGUGUUUUAAACAUUACUCUGAGUAAUCUCUAAAUACUACAGGGGCUUCAUCUGCAGUCUAAUUAUUUAAAGCAUUCCCAAGUCUAUAAGGGCAAAAAUUUGACAAGGUCUCUUCUUCAGUUGUUUCAUCGUGAACACUUCUCGACGCCCCUUCAUAUUCAAUCAUGACUGGGUACUAGAUGAACCAUCUAUCUUGACAAUACCCAUGUUGAUUAAUUUUUCAACUAGCUUUUUGAAGGUAAUGCAAUUUUCUAUAGAAUGCCCUGUAAUUCUUGCAUGAUAAUCACAUUGUGCACUUGCAUCAUACCAUUUGAGAUACGGGGGCUGUGGAGGCUUCACAUGUAAAGGAGCAACAACAUGCGCAUUGAAUAAGCUUUGAUAUAGCUCCUUGUACGGCAUUGGAAUUCGUGUGAACUGAAGCUUUUCAGUACCUGGCUUCACACUUAAUUCUUGUCUUGAUGAACCCUGUUGGUUUGCAAUCAAUUUACCGUACGUAUUCACGCUCUUCACCUCAUUUCCCUUUUCUUUUGAGGCUUGCCUUCUGUUAUUUCCUCCAGCAUCAAUCUUUCCGCUCCUUAUGCCACUUUCAAUCAUUUCACCAUUCAUGAUUAUGUCAGAAAAGCUUUUUGUCGCACUCCCUAACAUAUGUGUGAUGAACGGAGCUUUCAAUGUAUUUAUGAAUAACAUUGUCAUUUCCCUUUCCAAGAGCGGUGGCUGAACUUGGACGGCGACCUCCCUCAACCUCUGUACAUACUGCCUGAAGCUUUCAUUUGAUUUCUUUUCCAAAUUCUGUAAGGUGAUUCUAUCAGGAACCAUAUCUAUCACAUGACUGUACUACUUUAUGAAUGCCUGUACCAAAUCUCUCCAUGAAUUAAUCUGGGUACGGUUCAAUCGAUUGUACCACUUGGAUGCUGCCCCUGCGAGGCUAUCCUAGAAACAAUGUAUCAGCAGUUGGUCACUAUUAACAUACCCAGUCAUUCGCCUACAAAACAUGGUAACAUGAGCUUCGAGGCUACUAGUUCCAUUGUACUUCUCAAACUCUGGCAUUUUGAAUUUGUAAGGGAGCACUAAAUCCGGAACUAGACUCAAUUCUUUAGCAUUCAUCCCAUAGUAGCCUUCUGCACAUUCCAUCGCUCUAAAUUUCUCUUCCAACCAUUUGUACUUUUCCUCUAACUAUUUUGGCAAUUCAUCAUUCAUUUUCUCAUUUCUAACUGUCUCAUCGAAAUCAGGGAUAGCAGGAUUAACAAAGUUGGCUCUGGGGUUAGAGCUUGAUCCUGCUUGGAGAUUCAAUAGCGUUGCAGCGUCACCCGGAGGAUUAAUGGUAACAGAGGACCUACGCGGGUAUAUCUCAACUUNNNNNNNNNNNNNNNNNNNNNNNNNNNNNNNNNNNNNNNNNNNNNNNNNNNNNNNNNNNNNNNNNNNNNNNNNNNNNNNNNNNNNNNNNNNNNNNNNNNNCAUUGAGUUAACUGAGUCAUCAUACUCCCUUGAGAUUUUAUCAUUUUGUCUAUUAUUUUUUGCUGCUCAUUCAUUUGCUUUUGAAGUUGCUCCUGCAUUUCCUUUUGGGAUUGUUCUAGUCUUUCCAUCCUUUGAUCCAUAUCCUUAGUUUUCAAUCGAGUACCAUAGCGGUGUUUAGUAGGCUGGUUGGUUUCCAGAUUAACUGAGGAAUGAUUUAUAUCAAUUAGAAUAUUUUAGUGGACUUUAAUGUAUAUGAUAUCAUGUAAUGUGAAUGCAUGCAAUGAAUGCAUAAAGAGAUGUUGAUUCUGAUUCAAUUCCAUUUAAAGAACUUUACUAGAAAACAAAUCUCUUUACAUAAAAUGAAUAUUUAUACGGCCUUACCCUCAUAGGCGAAGACAUUCGAUCUUCUUGAGCGUUAAGAUAAAUCUCACGAACUCUUCAAAAACGUCUCUUCUAUCUCCUUUUUGCUCGAUCCAGGCCGUAACUUGUUGUUCGCUCAUCCUCAUGAUGCCCGUUGGCUUCUCUUUAAGAAGGUUCAACGGUUCUCAAAUAAUCUUUGUCAUCUUGAAUUCUUGGGCAACGGAGCCAUAGUCCUCCAUUAAAUUAUCAUCCUUCUCUUAUCAUGUGUUCUUGGACCAUAUUCGGACAACCAUAUUGUCAUCCAUUUUAUCAAGAAACCCAUUUUCUUAUGACCAGCUCUCUAUUUAGCAAUUGAACAUGAAUCAACACCUCUUUUAUAAUGAAAUGAAAUGCCAUGACAUGUAAAUAAAACACGAAAAGUCAGUAUCAUAUAAACAUAUAAUAUAAUAGUAAAAUUCCUACUCGGAUAUCUACUAGGGUUUAGUAUAGUUCUACUUAGGGUGGAUUCCUAAGGUUCAUUAUAUGAGGUUUGGCUUCUAGAGUAAAGGUACCUGAACCAGCAGAUUCCUCAAUCCUCACCCAUUAUAGGCUCAUAUGGAUCGAGUUCGGUUCAGGGGAAUACAUUUCCCUAUGGCUACACGGAGAUGAAAAUCUCACGAAGACAUAGGUACGGAUGUAUCCCGGAAGCAAUCCACUACCCUACACGGAGGUGAAAACCUCACGAAGGCAUAGCUUCUUACUCCCACUUAAAAGGGUAAAAUUGUUCAACUCAUGAAAUGUAUAAUGCAAAUAAUAUUUAAGUAAUAAGAUAAUGAAUGCGAAAGGAUGUCAUGAAUUUUUUUUAAAAAAUAUUUUUCUCGACCGUAAGACAAAAAUCAAUCAACUUUGUGGCUCGACUCUUUUUUUUUAAAAGAAAAUGUCCCCAGUGGAGUCGGCAAGCUGUCGAAACCAUCUUUUGCAAAACAAAAAAUUUUAGGUUGUCAACUUUUUUAAAAAAUUAAAAUUGGGAGUCGCCACCAAUCUUUAUUAGGGUGUGAUUGGAUCACCUAAAAAAUGGCUUUGGCUACGAGUUUUAGAAAAACGGAUCCGGGAGUCAGUUACGUAUGAGGAAGGAUUAGCACCCUCGUAACGCCCAAAAUUGGUACCUAGUUAAUUAAUUAGUGUCUUAAGGUCGAGAAUUUAGAAAAAACGUAAUCCUUAGAAAAACUUAAAAGGCUACGUAUUAAGACCCUUAUUAUUUCAGAGAAAGAAGAUACCACACCCACUGCGUUGGGCACAGCAUUCUAAUUUUCCCCAAAAUGAAUUGGGCCAAAAUACUUGUACAAUAAAAUUUUAAAAGAAGAUCCACUUAUCCAAGAUUUAAGAAAUCACACCCAAUACGUUAGGGCACGAUUCCUCUAGAAUCCCAAACUCGGAAUAUUUCAUUUACUUUAAAAAAACAUCCACUUAUCCAAGAUUUAAGAAAUCACACCCAAUACGUUAUGGCACAAUUCCUUUAAAAUCCCAAACUCGGAAUAUUUCCUUUAUUGUUUUUAGAAAAAAAAUUCAUUUCGAGAAUUCAAUGCGUCACAUCCAAUACGUUAGGACACAACGUGUUGAAUUCCCAAUAAUAAAUUCUCAUUUUUUGAUUAAAGAGAAAUGCUCGAUUGUUAGACUUAACGAAGAAAAUCGGAACCCAAUACGUUAGGGCUCAAUUUCCUUGAAAAUCCUAAAUUCAAGCAUUCUCUCAAUUUUGAAAAGUUUGAAAUCGAGUAAAGAAUGAUGUGAUGCUAUAUUAAAUAUACAAUGCAAUAAUAAAUAUUACAAUAGCCUAGAAAUAAUAUAAAUAAAUGAAUAAAUAAAAUCAAUAUACAUAAUAAAAAUAAUCACAUACAAAAUAUCAAAUAAAUCAUAAAAAAAUUCUUUUUAACAUAUAAACGAAAACAUGAAUUAAUAAUUGAAUGAAGAAAAUAAACAAAAUAUAAAGAAUAAAAGGCACAUAAUAUAUACAUUGAAAUUAAAAGCCAUACACAUAAUUUACAUAUGUAACUUUGGAUUAAAAUUUAUAAAAGCAGAAUGUAUAAUGCAUUUGUGAAAAUAAAAUAUAAAUUAUAAAGUGUUAAAAAAAUACAUAUAUUUGAGCAUUUAAAAAAAAUAAAUAUAUUCAUAUAUAUAUAUACAAGUAUAUAAAAAACUAGUUAAAAAUAUUAAUUUGUAUACAUACAUAUAUAUACAAAGAUAAAUAUAACAUAUAUAGAUUAUAAAAAAAUAAUUAUAUAUAAAUAAAAUAAAAUAAAAAUAAUUACCUCAUAUUAAAAAAAUAAAUAUGCGAAAAUAUUAGUUUUUAAAAAAAUAUAAAUACGCACAUAGAAACAAGUAUACAUAUAUAUAUAGCUAAAAUAAUAAUAAUUACAUAUGAAAAUAAUAAUAAUAAUUACAUUAACAAAAUUAACUAAUUUUAAGAAAAAUAUAAAAAGGAUUAAAUUGAACUACAAGUAAACAAAUUUGGGGUAAAUCUACAAAUAAAUAAAAUUUGGAGGACUAAAUUGAAUGAGCGAAUUACAUAGAGGGGCUAGAAGGGAAAUUUUCCCUUCUCCUUUAAAACGGUGUCGUUCAAAAGGAUUAAAUUGGAAUUUAAAAUAAAUAAAAGGGUAAAUUAAAAAAAUAAAGAAAACUUAAUUACAAAAACAUUAAAAGGCAGAGGGGCUAAAUAAAAAAAUAAAUAAAAUUCGCAGUGGUAUCACCUUCUCCAUUUUUUAAAAUCGUGAAUAAGUAAAAAAAAAUAAUCGAAAGAAAAAAAUAGUAAGCCACCUUUAAAAAACUGCCAAUCGUUCUUUUUUAUUCCUCCUCCUCUUUUCUCUUUUUUUUUUUUUUUACAAUGAAGGAAGAUGCCUCUAUUUAUAGUUGAGCCCCCCCAAAUCCAACGGUACAGAUCAAUUACAUCAACGGCUGAGAUUAAAGGGUAUCUACAAAUUAAAUCUCUAAGAUUACAAAAUCAUAUAUUAUAAGAUUGCAUAUCAUAUCGAAGAUUAUAUAUCAUAUCUAAGAUUACAUAUCAUAUCUAAGAUUGCAUAUCAUAUUUAGGAUUGCAUAUCAUAUCUAAGAUUGCAUAUCCUCAAAAAUUAUGUUUCCAUAUGUGAGCCAGGGCUAAAAUUAGGUAUUACAGUUCUCUUUGAAAAUUUUGCAUUAUCUAAAAAAAACAUAUUUCUCUUAAUAUUCGAGUGCUAUUAAUUUCAUCAAUAACUAAAUAUCAUCAAGUAUGAUAACAAAGAAAAAGCCCUAUUUUUGCUCAAAUGGCCAAAUGCCAAUUUUUUAAUGGUAGAAUGUCAUUUUAAACUUUUGUAAUGACCAUAUGGUCCUUUUUAUUUAAACUAUAGAAGUAGUUGUUUUUUAGGGAAAAAAACUUAUAUAUAUAUAUAUAUAUAUGUAAACUACGAAUGGAUUGAUAAUUUUUUGGUAACUGCUUUUUAAUAACUUUAAUGGGUUUAGGUUCUACUCCAUUAUAGGUAGACCAUAUCCUAUUCAAUCCAAUAUUGUCAAUCAAAAUAUAAUUUCAAAAAGAAAAUUUUAAUUACCAAAUAUGAAUUUUAUUAAUAUAGUACUCAUAUGACGUAGAUGUAUACAUGAAAAAUUGGUAUAGCUAAAUAGUUGAAGCUCUAAACCUAAAAAAAUACAUCGAAGCUCCCUAUCAAUUUAAAUUUUACUCGAUAAAUUUAAUAUCAAUUAUUAAAAUCAAUAUUGAGAUAGAAUCUUUCACCAUUUUCAAAAAGAUGGAAAUAAAACAAAUUAAUCAAAUAAUAAAAAUAUUUGAAUGGUUAAGGAAGGAGCUUUAAUCUUUUUAAGGCUUGGUUCGAUUCUAGCUUCAUAAUUUUGUUUGGGGUAGGGAAAUAAUUAAGAAGAAGAAAAUUGUGUUGAUAAUGUGUUAUGAAAUAAAUAACAAAGAGAAUAAAAUAAUUAAAAAAUAAGAGAACAAAAGAGUGUAUUUUUACUCAUAUACAAUGGUUUUCCAAAGUGAUUAUAUAUGGACAUAAGAAGUAUAAAUUACAUAAGAAUUCUAUUCCUCAUGAAUAUUAUAAUUUUAAUGUACAUCAAAUUAAUCUUGAUCUCGAUAAACAUCCACUUAAUAAUAAAAUAUUCAUAACAAAACAUAAAUAUAUAUCAAUGAAAAUAUCAAAAUCAUAAUUUAGCAUCAACAUUAAGCCUGAUUACAUUGGUUGAAACUGAUGUCCUACCUAUAUUAAUGACAAUUGAAACAUUUGUCAAAUGCAUAGUUUUAUACAUUGACACCCAACUGAAUACAUAAACUCACAUUUAUAGUCGAAGUGAUCUACAAACUUUAUAUAUAAUAUGACUAAAAUAAUAAAAUUAUCAGAACCACAAUUUGGCAUAAAUUCAAACAACCCUACCCACAAUCUUAUUAAUGAGCCUUCAAUUCAACAAUCAACAUUAUGUUACAUUUAUCACUCAACUGAAUACAUAAAUUCGCAUUUAUAGAUGAUAUUACUAAAAUAAUACUACCUGUAAUUAAGAAAGAAAAAAAUUUAAAUUAGAUAUGACACUUUUUUUUAUCACGAUUAUAUAAUUAAAAAAUUCACUAAAGAUAUAUAAAAUAAAUUACAUGUAAAAUUUUCGACUUGAUCUUACCAACUAAGAACCUUGAUGAACAUCUUGUAUAUUCAUAUCCAAUAUACUAAUGAAAGAGAUUAUAUUUAUAUUCAUUUUCCGCCUAUAAUUAGUUUCGAUGCAUAUAUCCUCAAUAUACUAAUUAAAUAGAUUAUAUUGAUUUUCUUUUGGUAAUAGAUUAUAGGUUAAAUUCUAUCAUCAGUCUAUGUACUUUGUGAAAGUUAUGAAUUUAAUCUUUAUAUCUUAAUUUAUCAUUUUUCGUCUUUGAAUUUUGCAGAAUUUAAAAUUUCAGUCCUCACCAAACGAUAACUAUUAAAUUUAUUCAGUUAAGUCUUUCUAUUUCCAAAAUCUGAUGUAGGAAACAUAUUAUUAUAUGUGUAAUGCCAUUUCAACUUAUUAUUUUUAUAAAUUACUCACUAAAAAUUCAGUUAAUGGAUGAUAGUUGUAAGAGCCCAAUUUCAUCCAGCCCAAAACCAAGAAAUAAAUAAACAAAAUAACAAACCAAAAAAUUAAAAAGUCUAACUCCAUUUACAAAAUAACGGCCCAAAUACAAAACCCUAACCCAAACCCAGUGUUACACAAGCCCAAGCCCAACUAACCUAAAGUUUUCAGAAACCAUAAAGCCCUAGGGUACCCACACCACCGCUUCUACCUCGUCAACGAACUCGACGCCUGAGGUCUGAUACCUCAUCUGCCCUUUCACCGAAAUGGAAGGCACAACUUUCCAGCGCCGUUGACCUUGCCAUGGGUACCUACAAAGAGAGAACGAAAAGGAUAGAGAGCGAAAACAGUGGAAACAACAGAAGCAACAAGAAAAAUAUAAAAAAAUAAUUGUUAUGUAAUAUAUGGCUAUAAAAGCCAUAACCACAGAUUGUAAUUUUUUCAUGAAGCAAUCAAAGAACAGAGAAAAUACAAAGAACAAAAAAAGUUAAAAGAAAAAGGUGAUUCAUUUUUUUUUACAUUCAAAAAAUAGAAUAAAAAAUAGAACCUUUUACUUGUUCGUCGUCAUCUUCGAUGUAAGAUGACUCCUUUUAUGAUGAAAAGGUUUUCGAAACUCAUAAACCGAAAGGCUUCUUUUGGGAUUUUUACGAUUCAGUGAAUUUUUGGGAAAUAUCGACCCCAGAUUUGGAUUCUGGGAGCUGAAAUGAUCAAAGGGGGUGUCGUUUUGAGGAUUUUAGCCACCGAGAAUAGCGAAGCUCGUCGCCGGCGACUAGUGACGGGAUGCAUCAAUAACGAACAAUUGUUAAUCCACUGCUUCUAGGAUAGUAUGAUCGGGUCAGUUGCCAAAUGGUACAAUCAGCUAAGCCGUGCCAAAAUCAACUCAUGGAAAGACUUGGCACAAGCUUUCAUGAAACAAUACAGCCAUGUAACUGAUAUGACACCCGAUAGAAUUACACUGCAAAACAUGAAGAAGAAACAAAGUGAAAACUUUAGGCAAUACACUCAGAGAUGGAGAAAGGUGGCAAAGCAAGUUCAGCCACCUCUUUUGGAGAAUGAGACAACAAUGCUUUUCAUAAACAUUCUGAAAGCCCCGUUCAUUAACCAUAUGCUGGGAAGUGCUACCAAGAGUUUCUUAGAUAUAGUAAUAUCUGGUGAAAUGAUUGAAAAUGCAAUAAGGAGUUGGAAAAUAGACACGGGGGAAAAUGCUAAAAAGUUUGCCCAAAAAAGAAAAAAAUAAAGUAAACACCGUGAGUGUGUAUAAUAAAAGCUAUUCAAAAUCGGUUACUGUAGGCCAACCAAAGACCGUGAUAACCAGCCUUCAAGGCCCUUCGAGGCAAGAAUCUAACUCAAGGCCAAACAAGGAAAAACUCCAAUUCACACCCAUCCCGAUGAUAUAUGGAGAGUUAUAUCAGAAUUUGUUCAACACGCAUGUGGUAUCCCCGUUUUACUUAAAAUCCAUGCAACCUCCAUUCCCAAAAUGGUAUGAUGCUAAUGCUCAAUGCGAGGACCACGCAAGAAUUGAGAACUGCACUACAUUUAAAAAGUUGAUUGAGAGGUUCAUCAAGAUAGAGAUUGUAAGGUUCGAUGAUCCUUCAAGACCUAAUGUGGCAGAAAAUCCGUUACCUAGUCAUUUUGACCAAAAGGUAAACACGAUAAUUGAGAGUAGAGGAAAGAAAACCAAAAUCAAUGUUGCAAGAGUGGAGGUAAACAUUAAUUUAGCAAAAAAUGAUAGACAUGGGAUUAAUCAUUCAAGAUUCAGAAGGGAUGCCCAAAGAAAUGAGAAGAUAUUGUGAGUUCCACAUUGAAGAAGGUCAUGAAAUCCAAGAGUACGCUGAGUUCAGAGCUCUAGUAAAAAGUCUAAUGGAUAACAAAGAAUUGGAAUUAUUUGAAGGUGUCAAAAGGUUGGAAGGAGGAAAUGUUUGCGCCUCAGAAAAAGGAUCAACGGAGAAGGUCUACAAGGUCAACCACCUAGUGGUGAUUAUUUCAUAACCAAGAAAUAUUGAAGCGGCAACAGAAGCUACGCCAAGAGUUGUAAUUCAGAAACCCGUGGCUUUUCCCUACAAUGAUAGCAAAAGGGAACUGUGGAAUUAUGAUUGUAACGUGAUGACCCCAAGAGAGGAGAACUCGGUUGGCACUUCAAAAGAGGGCUAGUAUAUUGGUUUCUUCACACGUAGUGGAAGACGCUAUGACCCUGCAAGUGUGAGAACCAAGCCCAUUAAGGAAAAAACUCUAGCAAUUAAGCAUAAGAAAAAGAAAUGGCUAGACGUGAAUCACUUGUUAAUGAGCUAGUAACUAAGAAUAAGGCUAAAAAAUUCUUGAAGUUCUUGAAGCAUAGCAAGUAUAGUGUUGUAGAACAACUACACAAAUAACCAACUCGUAUAUCAGGGCUAGCUUUGCUCUUCAGCUCAAAGACACAUCCUAGCACGUUGAUGGUGUUAAAUGAAACUUAUGUCACUAAUGAUAUCUCUGUAAACAAGCUAGACCGUUUGAUUAAAAAUCUGAAAGUCGACAAUUUUAUAUUUUUCAAUGAUGAUGAAAUUCCUCCAAGGGGCAUGGGAUUCACGAAGGUUUUACACAUCACUACCCGCUGUAAAGGAUAUACAUUACCAAAAGUGUUAAUCGACAAUAGAUCUGUGCUGAAUGUCUUGCAUUUAUCCACAUUGAAUAGAUUUCCAGUAGAUAGCUCUCAUAUGAAGACGUGCCAAAAUAUAUUGAGAACAUUUGAUGGUACAAAAAGAAGGGUGAUGGAGAGGAUUGAAAUACCUUUAUUAAUUGGUUUGAACACAUAUGAGGUAGAUUUUUGGUAAUGGAUAUCAAAACCCUCUUAUAACUGCUUGUUGGGUAGGCCUUGGAUUCAUGCAGCUAGGGCAAUGUCGUCGUCAUUGCACCAAAAUCUAAAACUAGUAACAGAGGGUCGACUAGUAACAAUAAACGUUGAAAUGGAUAUCAUUACACCCGUAAUUAAUGAUGCACCAUACAUAGGAGCGGAUGAAGAGGAAAUAAAAUGUUCCUUUCGAUCAAUGGAAUUUGUUAAUACAACUUUCAUUGUUGAAAGAAACAAGAUCCCAGUGCCAAAAAUAUCAGAACCAUGAAGAUGUGCCUGCAAUUGACGGUUGGGAAAGGAGCCUUACCUAGAAGAGGACUCAGAAAAUACAUUCAAAGAAGAGUCGAGGCAUCAAUGCUGAUGGAGAAAUAAGACUGCUUCAAUUUAGGAUACAAGUUAGAUGUAAGACAAAAGAAUAAGGAGCUAGAGAAAAAGCAAGAAAGAAGAAGAGCGCAACUAAGUGGGGGGAGAGAUCAAAUGGGAACCGAUGAUCUUUCCCCAUAUAUCUAAAAUGUUCAUGGCAGGAGAAACCAUAUAUCCUAAAUGAAGGAUGUUAGAAAAAGAAACUGUGGAAGGAAUGUUAGGAAACUUGAGCAUCAACGCCAUAUCCAAAUAAGAAAUUGGAGAAGAAAACCUAUCGGGCAUUUGUCUUUAUAUCCCUGGAAGUGUUCUGAACAAUUAGACUACGGAAGAGAUUCCUAUAAUUUUUAGAACUAAUUCAGAGUCUCCAGGUAUCAAUGAUACAAGUAACACUGCCACUAACUCAGAGUCUCCUUUUGAGCAGGAUAUGUGUCCAGAGGAACCUUAGGCCUUUAAAGGUGAUCGAGAUUACAACCUAUCUCUUGAUUUGUUAAGGAUGGUAGAACAAAAUGAGAAACAGAUCUUACCUCACGGGACUUUGAGUGUGAGUGACUUAUUGUAUUUGUGAUAAAAGAUAGUGAAAUUACUCACUAAAUUAGGCUCCGCAAACAUAGGGAAACUGAACUAUGUAAACAAACCUUAAUGUUAUUUUUGUUUUGUUUGCAUAGUUUUUUGCAGUGUUAAGCAACAGUGGUCACUACAGUCUAAUAAAUCCAUUGCAUUUGUUAUUUUAAGCAAACAAGCAACUUACAGUAACAACAAUAUUUAAUAAAAAAUUCAUAUAUAAAAUAUAAAUAUUUUAAUAAUAUAGAUAUGAGUAUUUGUUUAAAUUAUACUUUGCUUCAUUUAUCUAUUCCAAUUCUAUUGUGUCAUUAUGCACUAGACUUGAUCAUGAGUCGGGCCACUCGGCCCGCACGAAAAGUGAGAGUUUUUUGGCUCAGAAAAUGGGCAUAGACAAAAAAAAGGCUCGUUUUUAAAUACAUCAGGCUUCAGGUAAGUUUUUUGCCUCGGGCCUAGCCCGAAAAAAAAAACUCUUGUUGUUUUGUCACACUUUUGUUGUUAUUUCACUAUUAUAUUGUUACUAUUUUGUUGUUAUUGUUUGGAUAUUAUAUAACUCAUGUUUUAUUGUUAAUUUUGCUACUAUUUUAGAGGCAUUUGCUUGCUAACUUACGUCUAUCUUAGUAUUAUUUAAGUAUAACUUUUUUAAUUUAUUUUCAACUUGUUGAGAAACAUUUAUUUUAACGUUUAUAGUAUAUUUGAUGUUUUAUAUUUUUUUUAAAAUUUAUUUUUAUAUAAAAAUAAUAAUAUAAAAAAAUUUAAUACUGGCGAGCAAGACUCAAGUUUUAGCAUUUCUAUCUGGAUUAAAUUUGGGCAGAAUUUUAAGUUCAUUUUUCAAGUUGAACCUAGGUCUAAAAAAUAGGUCUAAUUUUUUUUUUCAGGCCGACACCGCCAUGAUCUAGUCUAAAACAAACGUAACCUAAAUCGAUACAUGAUAGAUUAACCUAUUCUGAAUCUUCCCAGAAACAAAACUAAAAAACAUUAAACACUACAACUACUAAUAUCACCGCGGCUUUCAAAGGAAACCAUGUGGGCUAUAAUCACCUCACUUCUACCAUUUUCAAAGCUUUCAUAUGAGUUUAAAUCAAUUUCAAUGGGGUUUUUUACAAAAUUAUUAUAAAAAAAAAUAAAAAUAACUAAAAUAUUAUAACUUUUUUAUUUACCAAAAUAUUAUAAUUUUUUUAUUUACCAAAAUAUAUCAAAAAAAACAAAAAAAAUAGAAAAAAAACUGACAGCAGCCUGAUCAGGCCAAUCACAUUGGCGGUUUGGUGCCAAAGAGAUUGGCGGCACCAAUGGUGCCAAAGAGAUUGGCAGCGCCAAUUGUGUCAAAGGACUAAAAUGUAACUAUCUGUAGUUUUAAGGACCUGACAUGAAAUUUACCAUUUUAAAUUUUGAAAGUUAAUUGCUGCUGCUGUGCACACUAAAAUUGAAAUAUGGCUAAUUGUCUUCUAAGACCUCCUUAUUUAUAAUUUUAUUUUUAUUCCCCUUCAACUCACUUUUUUAUUUAAUAAACAAGCCCUCAACCUAUUUUUGUAGUUAAAUAAGCUCUUAAUCUAUGAUUUUUACUCAUAAAAGUCCUUUAUUUUAUUAUUAAAGUAAAUAUAUUUUACCUAAUGUUUGAUGUUCCAUUUUUAUUCUCAAUAAGUUAUAUCUAAGUUAUCUUUGGACUUUAAUUUUUCUUUAGAUUUAUUUUUAUUUAUUUUUAAAUAUACUCUAGAUAUUAAUACAUACCAUUGCGCUCUUCAAUAUUUGAUUAUUAUUAUAGUUUAUUCGAAUAUAUAUUACUUAUAACUAUAAUUAUAUUUAUAAAUUUUAAAAAAUUAUUAUUUAAUUUACCAAUAAUGUUUAAUUUUAUAUAUCAUGUCGAUUGAGUUUUAACUUAAUUGGUAUGAGUAUUGUUGUGAAUGCAGGAGGACGUGAGUUUAAGUACAUUGGAGUGUAUUAUCCUCUUAUUUAUGGGUUGCAGAGAGACUAUGGAUAAUUCUAGACAUUAUGUCAAAAAAAUAAAUAUGAUCAUAAACUAUAGUGAGAUUUUUCAAAAAANNNNNNNNNNNNNNNNNNNNNNNNNNNNNNNNNNNNNNNNNNNNNNNNNNNNNNNNNNNNNNNNNNNNNNNNNNNNNNNNNNNNNNNNNNNNNNNNNNNNNNNNNNNNNNNNNNNNNNNNNNNNNNNNNNNNNNNNNNNNNNNNNNNNNNNNNNNNNNNNNNNNNNNNNNNNNNNNNNNNNNNNNNNNNNNNNNNNNNNNNNNNNNNNNNNNNNNNNNNNNNNNNNNNNNNNNNNNNNNNNNNNNNNNNNNNNNNNNNNNNNNNNNNNNNNNNNNNNNNNNNNNNNNNNNNNNNNNNNNNNNNNNNNNNNNNNNNNNNNNNNNNNNNNNNNNNNNNNNNNNNNNNNNNNNNNNNNNNUAAUAUUUUAAUUGAAAUCAUAAAAUUAAGAAAUUGAAUAUCAAUUUUCUUCUUCACCAAACAUAUCUAUAACUUUGUGAAAAGAAAGUUUGUUGAAAUAGUAUCACUUCAAUAACUAUAUUUUCUUCAGGAUUAAUAUUUUAAUACUUUUUAUCCUAUCAAGGCAAUUGCCAGAGAAGAUCAGAACUAGGCUGAAGAUUGAACCGAUUGUUGUAGAGAUUAAGACGAAAUAAUAUGGCAUUAUUUUUAUUGUUAAAAUUUUAUUACUUUUAUAAAACUCGAUCACAGUAGAGUGUGUAAUUUAAGUAUUUGAAAUAUUUAAAUUUAUAAUUUAUUAAUAUUAUUUAAAUAAUGUAUUAUGUAAAAACUAGGGGUUUACUUGCUUAGCAAACAAAAAAUGUGACUAAAAUGUUACUUGAAAUUGUAGCCACAGUUUCAAUCACAAAACCUUUAAUCACAAAACGAGAAGUGCAAAAAAAGUAAAGAUGAACACCAAGAUUGUUUACACAGUUCGACCUGAGUCUAUGUCUGUGGGGUCUUCCCUAGAGCAAUUGAUGUAUGUUCACGUGACUAACUAAAAAUACGACAAAGGCAAAUGCACCUAUCGAUAAAUAGUAGAACUAUGGUGAGUAAAUGUAUCGUAUCCACAAGGACUAAAAGUAUUAGUAAUUACUGUUUUCCUAAUAUUCAGCCGACAAAUUGGAGUGAUUGUUUUAAACUAAGAUUUACUAAAUUAACCUAACUAAAUAACUCAACAGAGAGUGAAUCAGGAAAAUAAUCGAAUAAUAACCAAUGAGAGAAAUAAUACCUAGGAAAGAAUCCACCUAGACUUCAUCUAUUAUUAUGAAUCUAAUUUAAACGAUUUAUUCACUUGGUAUCUUGAUCCGUAGAAAUCUCUNNNNNNNNNNNNNNNNNNNNNNNNNNNNNNNNNNNNNNNNNNNNNNNNNNNNNNNNNNNNNNNNNNNNNNNNNNNNNNNNNNNNNNNNNNNNNNNNNNNNNNNNNNNNNNNNNNNNNNNNNNNNNNNNNNNNNNNNNNNNNNNNNNNNNNNNNNNNNNNNNNNNNNNNNNNNNNNNNNNNNNNNNNNNNNNNNNNNNNNNNNNNNNNNNNNNNNNNNNNNNNNNNNNNNNNNNNNNNNNNNNNNNNNNNNNNNNNNNNNNNNNNNNNNNNNNNNNNNNNNNNNNNNNNNNNNNNNNNNNNNNNNNNNNNNNNNNNNNNNNNNNNNNNNNNNNNNNNNNNNNNNNNNNNNNNNNNNNNNNNNNNNNNNNNNNNNNNNNNNNNNNNNNNNNNNNNNNNNNNNNNNNNNNNNNNNNNNNNNNNNNNNNNNNNNNNNNNNNNNNNNNNNNNNNNNNNNNNNNNNNNNNNNNNNNNNNNNNNNNNNNNNNNNNNNNNNNNNNNNNNNNNNNNNNNNNNNNNNNNNNNNNNNNNNNNNNNNNNNNNNNNNNNNNNNNNNNNNNNNNNNNNNNNNNNNNNNNNNNNNNNNNNNNNNNNNNNNNNNNNNNNNNNNNNNNNNNNNNNNNNNNNNNNNNNNNNNNNNNNNNNNNNNNNNNNNNNNNNNNNNNNNNNNNNNNNNNNNNNNNNNNNNNNNNNNNNNNNNNNNNNNNNNNNNNNNNNNNNNNNNNNNNNNNNNNNNNNNNNNNNNNNNNNNNNNNNNNNNNNNNNNNNNNNNNNNNNNNNNNNNNNNNNNNNNNNNNNNNNNNNNNNNNNNNNNNNNNNNNNNNNNNNNNNNNNNNNNNNNNNNNNNNNNNNNNNNNNNNNNNNNNNNNNNNNNNNNNNNNNNNNNNNNNNNNNNNNNNNNNNNNNNNNNNNNNNNNNNNNNNNNNNNNNNNNNNNNNNNNNNNNNNNNNNNNNNNNNNNNNNNNNNNNNNNNNNNNNNNNNNNNNNNNNNNNNNNNNNNNNNNNNNNNNNNNNNNNNNNNNNNNNNNNNNNNNNNNNNNNNNNNNNNNNNNNNNNNNNNNNNNNNNNNNNNNNNNNNNNNNNNNNNNNNNNNNNNNNNNNNNNNNNNNNNNNNNNNNNNNNNNNNNNNNNNNNNNNNNNNNNNNNNNNNNNNNNNNNNNNNNNNNNNNNNNNNNNNNNNNNNNNNNNNNNNNNNNNNNNNNNNNNNNNNNNNNNNNNNNNNNNNNNNNNNNNNNNNNNNNNNNNNNNNNNNNNNNNNNNNNNNNNNNNNNNNNNNNNNNNNNNNNNNNNNNNNNNNNNNNNNNNNNNNNNNNNNNNNNNNNNNNNNNNNNNNNNNNNNNNNNNNNNNNNNNNNNNNNNNNNNNNNNNNNNNNNNNNNNNNNNNNNNNNNNNNNNNNNNNNNNNNNNNNNNNNNNNNNNNNNNNNNNNNNNNNNNNNNNNNNNNNNNNNNNNNNNNNNNNNNNNNNNNNNNNNNNNNNNNNNNNNNNNNNNNNNNNNNNNNNNNNNNNNNNNNNNNNNNNNNNNNNNNNNNNNNNNNNNNNNNNNNNNNNNNNNNNNNNNNNNNNNNNNNNNNNNNNNNNNNNNNNNNNNNNNNNCAAUCUUCAAGUCUUCAAUUUUAACUCAAGUGGUCUUCAUGCGUUGGGUUUUACUCGUCCAAAGAUUUUCAUAAUAAUUAGUCCAAUGCUUUUGUUCUACAAUUUGUUAACUCUUCAAAUAGGCAAGUAGGGCAAUGAAAUAGUGCCUAAGGUUGUGACAACUGUUUCAACCACAAAAACAACAAUAGAAUUAAUCUUGUCUUUAAAUAUGUCAACACUCUCCCCUUUUGGAAAUUUCUGAACAAAACAUAUACAAGAAAAAUAAAACAAUCAUAAUUACAUAUUAUUCCCCUAGGUAUCUCCCCCUUAAUCAAAGUAUCAGACAUUGAGGAGGCCAAAGAUAUCGAUGACAUGAGGACUAAUGAGUUAAUUCUAACACCCUAAACCCGACCUAAACAUUACGCACAGAUCUAAAAAAGUUACCAUGAUUCAAUUUGAAAAUCCAAAAAUUAGUUGGGCUUGUAGAAAUAGCACUAGCUUUUGAUAAAAGUAAUUUUGAUUUAUUUUAAAAGAAAAUAUCUUUCUUACUCAAUUCAUUAAUCUUGUCAAUUAAAUUUAUACCUUAAAAACACUUACGUUUGUAGUGAAACUCUUAGUUAAAUUCAAUUUUGAAAAUGUAGUUUGAUUUUGAAAAUCCAAUGUUUUGCUAAUAGACUAAUUAUAAUUUUAAAACGAUAAAACGGUUUAAAACAGAAAUUAAAAGUCCAAAUCUAAAUACAGUCUCAAAAGUCCAAAAUAAUCCAAUGAAACAAAAAUAGAUUAAUCUAGACAAAAUUUAAGGAAAUGUAAUGCAAAUAUGUAAAACCGAGCUCUGAUCACUCUGAUCUGUCCUAUGUCUGAGGGUUACCUAAGAAUCAAACAAAUAGAGAAUGAGCUUACAAGCUCAGUGUGGAACUUACUAUAAUUUAAACAGCAAAUACCAUUUCAGACAUGUGUUCUGGUACCAAUAAGACAAAUUUCAUAAACAAAAACAUAUGCAUAUCAGAUACAGAUUAAAUUCCUACCUCCAUCCGCUAGACACCAUCUCUGACCAUCCCUUCAUACCAAUUAGGGUAUUAAAUACCCAACCAGCCCUACACACCAAUUAGUGUCUAUAUGACACUUUUCAGAGUACUUGCAGUUUAGUUGCCAGAUCAAUAAGCGAUAUACCCUCCAAAUACAGAUACACAUGGCUACACUAUCAAAUUAAACAGAUAAAUUAAACUGCCAGCAUUUCCUCCAUAAACAAAUUUCCCACCACAAUGCAUAUGCAAAACUAGACAGAUAUCACAUAGUGUAUGACAUACAUGUUUUUCAUAUCAUAUUCAUAUCAUACUUAGCAUAUAACAGAUCAUGCUAUCACAUAUAACAUACUACCUAUGUGUUUACUAGUCAUAUUAAACAGUAAUAGAGUAACAGAAAUCAUGGUUUAUAGGCAAAAUUAUACCAUGCAGACCCUACAAAAGGGCUAUAUUCAAUUCGCAUGGCAACUACAACCUCCGGGAAAAAUUUUAGAAUUUGGACCCACACGCCCGUGUGGCGUUGAUAGUCCAAUUUUUCGGUUUUCAGUAAUUUGCAAUUUUUAGGGUUUUCAUUACACGCUUGAUAUGAUUAUGAUGCAAAUGCAACCAUGAGACUUCUCAAACCUAGAAACGACAAUUAAAUCUCCAAUUGAGAUGAUUCCCAAACCAAAUUCACAAAAAUUGAUAUAUCCAACAUAAAGUUUAAACGAAGAAUUUCAACCUAAAACCCCAAAUUGACUCCUUAUCUUCAAGAAAUAGCAGCCCACCAACGAUUCUAGGUCACCGAAAAAUUAAUUGCCUCGCCAACUUCACCUAGAAACUCAAACAAUUAAUCAUACGGAACAUUUUUAACCCACAACUAACAAAAAGAAUAAUAAAAACAAACUCACUUACUAUAGGAGAAAAUUUAAUGGUACUUGCACAAGUAAUUGAUAGAAUGAUUAAUGCUUCAAUGAUGAUUUUCUAUGGCACUUACAAGCAUAAAAUUCACCAUUUAAACCAAAUAAUCGUCCAAAAAUCACAUUAAGAAUGAGAUAAAACAUGCUACUUUUAGCACUUAUCAAGGAGACUCAAGGUCAAGCAUCCAAUUUCUCCCACUCAUCUCAUAAGUCACCUCUUUGCUAUUUUGUAUGUAUACAAGUGUUUUGGGUCAUAUGGCAUGUACCUAGAUUAGUUAGCAUGUUUUUAAAUUAAUAUUUGAUACUUUUGACAUUAUAACCUAUAAAGUUUUAAAAAUUAAGUUUUAUCCUUUGAUUAGGGAUAAUCUUUGUAUGUUUAUAUAAGUUUGAAUGUGUUAGUUAAUAGGUUAAACCUUAAUGUAUUGGAUACUAUGUUUAUCUAUGUUUAUUUACGUACCAUUGCUCCGCCUAAGCUUUGGACAUCUAGUUUUUAUGCUCAUUCCAGAAAAGAAAAGACUCUCAUCGUUCUCAUUGAAAGUAUUGCAUUAUCUAAGAGAUAUAUUUCUUAAUAUUCGAGUGCCAUCAAUUUCAUCAAUGAUGAAAUAUCAUCAAAUAUGUAAACCACUUCAAAUAAAUAGCAAUGGCAAAAACCAACUUUUGUUCAACGGCCAAAUGCCAAAUUUUUUUAAUCUAUCAAAGCAGUUGUUUUUAUAAGAAAAAAACUUCUUUAUAUUUUAACUACCAAUAUUUGGUAACUACUUUUUAAUACCUUUAAUGGGUUUAGGUUCUAAACCAUUAUAGGUAGAUGAGAUCCGAUUCGAUUUAAUAUUUCCAAUUAAAAUAUAAUCUCAAAAAGAAAAUUCUAAUAAAAUUACAAACUUACCAAUUAUGAAUCUGAUUAUAAUACGAUGUCAAAAUAUAUGUGAAAAAUUGAUGUAGCUGAAUGUUUGAAGCCCAAGACCUAAAAUAAAAAAUGGAGUUCCUUACCAAUCUAAAUUUUACUCGAUAAAUCUAAUAUCAAUGAUCAAAAUCAACACUAAGAUAGAAUCUUUCACCAUCCUCAAAAAGAUAGGAAUAAAAUAAAUUAAUCAAAUAAUUCAUAAUUAAUCAUGAAUUAAAAUUAAAAUUAAAAUUAAUCUAGAUAUGAAAUAUUAAAAAAACAAACAAACAAACCUUCCUGCAAAUCUUGCCAUCCGGCAAUUUAAGAUCCCAGAGAAUAGAUCUGAUUUUCAAUCCUCAAAUGAAUAAAUUUGAUCAUAUAUCAAUAGGGUUUUAUAAAAUCUUUGUGCAUAAGGCAUCAAAGUGUUGGAGUAAUCAAGUGGUAUAAGGUGCUUGGAGCAUUAGAGGUUUUGGGUUUGAAUCUUCCCACCAGCAUUGGUUUCUUUCUCUUCUAUGCAACAGCAUCAUUUACAGAUUUCUUUACAUAAAAUAAUGAAAAUAUUUGAAUGCUUAAGGAAGGAGCUUUAAUUUUUAAUGCUUGGUUGUGGAACUUUUUUCAUAAUUUUCUUUGGGGCUAAGGAAAUAAUUAAGAAGAGGAAAAAGUUUGUUUGGGGACUAUGGAAAAUAACUAAGAAGAAAAAAGAGAGGAAAAGAGAACCAAUUUUUAUUCAUCAAUACAGAUAUAUUUAAUGGUUCUCCAAAAUAUAUAUAUUUAUAGACAUAAAUUUAUAAAUUACAUAGAAUUUUACUCUUAAUAAACAUUAAUUUUAAUGUAUAUCAAACUAUUUUUUAUCUUAAUAAACAUUCAUUUAAUAAUAAAAUAUUUAUAAUAAAAAUAAUUUUAUAUCAAAUUUAAAUACAAAAAUUAAAGUGAAGCAUAAUAAUAAUAUCAAAACCAUAAUUUCGCGUAAAUUCAAACAACCCUACCGACAAUCUUAUUAAUGAGCCUUGAAUUGAACCGUUAACAUUAGAUGAUCAUGUGAUGUUCUACCUAUAAUAAUGAUGGGCCAACUUUAUACAUUUGUCACUCAACUGAAUAACAUAAAUUCAAUGAUUGUAUAGAGAUAUUCCUACGCCUUUGGUAAUUUACCUUCUAGCGGUUUCCUCAGCUUGAUCCAGUUGAUAUUUGUUUUUUUUUUUUUUUUGAAAAAACCGGGGUCGAAUGUGGAGAUUAAAGAUGUUCUUUUUUGAUAUGGCACCUCUUAAGGUACCAGGUAGCGAUAGUUUUCAUGCCUUUUUCUUCCAAAAGCAGUGAGAUAUUAUUGGGGGAGCGGUUUGUGAUUGGGUCAGGAAGAUCUUUUAUGAAAAUUCUGUUGAUCCUAAUCUGAAAUUUCAAAUUUUGAAAUUUUGCUCCUCUGAUUUAAGCACAUUUAAAAUAAAUUAAUAUUCAGGAAAAUUAACACAAGAGAUAAGCACAUAUAACUGAGAACAAGAUCCAAGUAUUUAUCGUGUAAAAUAGAAUUCAAAUAAUAGAAUUCAAAUAAUAGAAUUCAUUAUAGGGUUCAUCUCCCCUAGGUAUCUAGAGAAUUAACUCAUAAUUAUAAAUAAAAAACAUCUCAAAGUCAGUAUAAUCACAAGAGAUAAAAAAAACUCUUAAAGAACUUCAAAGAAAUUAAAAAGAAGUCUUCAAUCUUGAUGAAAUCUGCUUCAGAGUUGGCUUCAAUGGUGUUCUUCGAGUUGUUUUCUUCAAUGCUCUCUGAUGGCUCCCUAUUCUGUUAUUCUAUUUGGUAUUUAUAGGUCUUAGAAUGCCCAAAAAGCCUAAAAAUUACAUUUUUCUGCGUGUUUGGAAUGCGAAUCGUGAAAUCAACACGGUCUGACACAUGGCCGUGUGGCAGUCCGUGUGGCUCACACAGUUGUGUGUCCAGCUCGUGUGGGAAGACCCAGCCCUUGUGGCUCCUAAAAUCUACUCUGAUUAUCUAAUUUUUGCUCUUUUUGCUCUCAAAUGCUCUCCUAAGUAUAGAAACAUGAAUUUAAAGGAUUAGGAGCAUAAAAUUCACCAUUUUGCAUAAAUAAUCAUCCAAAAACGCAUUAAGAAUGAGAUUAAAACAUGUUACUUUUAUCACUUAUCAAAUGCUUUAGUUUUCCACCCAUCCAUAUGAACCGCCCUCGAGCUUUGCUAGACACACCAACCCAUAUAACAAAAACUGACCAUCCCUGAUUUGAUUUCUGGUGAUGAUGGUCAUUGACUAGUCAUCUGUGACGAUGACUUUCACUACCACCCGAUUUGGUCCGAUUUUGAUGGUGUUUUAAAACGACCAUACUGUCCUAUCCGGUUUUGGUCCUAAAUUAAUUUAGAUAGUGUUUUGAUGGUCCUAAAUUUAAACCUGUAUGCAUAGUACAAGAUUAGUACAAGAUUAGUAUAUUUAACUUCUAUUGUUUGGGUCUAGACAAAUUUCAAAAUUUAAAAAGUAUAGGGACUAAAAUUAAUUAAUUUGAAAAGUAUAGAAACUAAAUUUGAUCAAAUUAAAAUAUAGGAACUAAAUAUAGAACUUUUGCAAAAUACAGGAACUAAUAGUAAAUUUUAACCUAGAUUAUAUUGUUAUUCAUUAUUGGCCUAUAAUUAGUUUCGAUGCAUAAAUCAACAUAAAAAUCGGAACUCUAAAUUGACACAAGAAUGCUUUGAGAGAGUGCAAACUAUUUAUCUUGAUCUCGAUAAACAUCCACCUAAUAAUAAGAUAUUCAUAACAAAAAUAUUAAUAAAAAAUAAUAAAAAUAUCAAAAUCAUAAGUUAGCAUCAACAUUAAGUUUGAUUACAUUGGUUGAAACUGAUGUACUACCAAUAUUAAUGACAAUUGAAGCAUUUGUCAAAUGCCCAUAAUUUUAUACAUUGAAACUCAACUGAAUACAUAACCUCACAUUUAUAGUCGAUGUGAUCUACAAAUUCUAUAUAUAAUAUUACUAAAAUUAUCAGAACCAUAAUUUGGCAUAAAUUCAAACAACCCUACCGACAAUCUUAUUAAUGAGCCUUAAUUGGUUGAAUGCGAUGUACUGCCUAUAUUAAUUACAACUGAACCACGUGUCAAAAUGCCUGUUAAUAGGGCCAACUUUAUACAUUUAUAACUCAACUGAAUACAUAAAUUCACAUUUAUAUAUGAUAUUACUAAAAUAAUACUAGCCGUAAUUAAGAAAGAAAAAAAUUUUAAUUAGAUAUGACACUUUUUUAAUCACGAUUAUAUAAUUAAAAAAUUCACUAAAGAUAUAUAAUAUAAAUUACAUGUAAAAUUUUCGAAUUCAUCUUACCAACUUAGAACUGUGAUGAACAUCUUGUAUAUUCAUAUCCAAUAUACUAAUGAAAGAGAUUAUAUUUAUAUUCAUUUUCCGCCUAUAAUUAGUUUCGAUGCAUAUAUCCUCAAUAUACUAAUUAAAUAGAUUAUAUUGAUUUUCUUUUGGUAAUAGAUUAUAGGUUAAAUUCUGUCAUCAGUCUAUGUACUUUGUGAAAGUUGUAGAUUUAAUUUUUAUAUUUUAAUUUAUCACUUUUCGUACGUCUUUGAAUUUUGCAGAAUUUAAAAUUUCAGUCAUCACCAAACGAUAACUAUUAAAUUCAUUCAGUUAAGUUUUUCUAUUUCUAAAAUCUGAUGUAGGAAACAUAUUAUUAUAUGUGUAAUGUCAUUUCAACUUGUUAUUUUUAUAAAUUACUCACUAAAAAUUCAGUUAAUGGAUGAUAGUUGUAAGGGCUCAAUUUCGUCCAGCCCAAAACCAAGAAAUAAAUAAACAAAAUAAAAAACCAAAAAAUUAAAAAGUCCAAGUCCAUUUACAAAAUAAUGGCCCAAAUACAAAACCCUAACCCAGUGUUACACAAUCCCAAGCCCAACUAACUUAAAGUUUUCAGAAACCCUAAAGCCCUAGGGUACCCACACCGCCGCUUCCGCCUCGUCAGUGAACUCGACGCCCGAGGUCUGACACCUCGUCUGCCCUUUCAUCGAAAUGGCAAGGCACAGCUUUCCAAUGCCGUUGACCUUGCCAUGGGUACCUACAAAGAGAGAACGAAAAGGACAGAGAGGGAAAACAGUGGAAACAGCAAAAGCAACGAGAAAAAAUAUAAAAAAAUAAUUAAUAUGUAAUAUAUGCCUAUAAAAGUCAUAACCACGGAUUGUAAUUUUUAACAAUGAUACAAGAAACGCUGCCGUUGACUCAGAGUCUCCUUUUGAGCAGGAUAUGUGUCCAGAGGAACCCUAGGACUCUAAAGGUGAUCGAGAUUAUAACCUACCUCCUGAUUUGUUAAGGAUGAUAGAACAAAAUAAGAAACAGAUCCUACCUCACAGGACUUUGAGUGUGAGUGACUUAUUGUAUUCGUGAUAAAAGAUAGUGGAAUUACUCACUGAAUUAGGCUCCGCAAACAUAGGGAAACUGAACUAUGUAAACAAACCUUAGUGUUAUUUUUGUUUUGUUUGCAUAAUUUUUUGCGGUGUUAAGCAGCAGUGGUCACUACAGUCUAACACUUCCAGUGCAUUUGUUAUUUUAAGCAAACAAGCAACUUGCGGUAACAACAAUAUUUAAUAAAAAAAUUCAUAUAUAAAAUAUAAAUAUUUUAAUAAUAUAGAUAUGAGUAUUUUAAUAAAAUUCAUAUACAAAAUUUUUAUCUUUGAACCCUUUAAUAAUUAAAUUUUUAUAUUGGUCCCCAACACUGAAUUUAUGGUUUUGCCCAUAAAUAUUAGAUAUGAAUUAGGUUAUAUUUUAAAAAUUACAAAAAAAAAAAACAACAAUCUUUUGAUUUCAAUCUUGUAAUUUAAAACAAUGUAUCAAAGUAGUUAGAUAAAUAUUCAUUAUUGGCCUAUAAUUGAUUAUGAUGCAUAUAUCCCACCAAUAGGAAUACUUAUCUAUUAUUUUUGUAUCAGUCAUUUGCUAAACUUGAUAAAUAAUAAACUCAAGUGGUUUCUUACAAAGCUUCAUAUAUAUUAAGCUCUAUUUUACUUUUAUUCAAUUUCUUUUGUUCUAAUGUUAUCCUCAUUUCAUUUUAUAAAUUAUCUGAAUAAAAGAACUUAAAGAUCCUUACGGAUUUCCAGUAAAUAUCCUCAUUAAGUCAACCUCUCCUCCUCAUCGGUGUGCUUCUUCUUCUUGGGUUAUCAACAGGUUCUGUUCUCCUUUUCUCUGUCUAUUGUUUUUGUUGAUCGUGAUUUGUUCUUGGGUGUGCCUCUCCUCCUCUGGUGUUUUUGCUCCUGUAUGUUUUAUAUUGAAGGAUCUUGUUAAUUUGUUGCAAAGGUGUCAAGCAAAAUGCUCCUGCAUGAAUAGAUUUUGGUCUUAGGUUUGCUAGAUCUUCUUCCCUAAUCUGUUUAAUCGUCUCCCUAAUUUUAAACAAUCUAAUUAGCUUGCUAAAAAAUUACAGCCUUGUUCGUCACCUGUUCUCGCGAUUCAUCGAAGGUAGAUUUCUACUCACAUUAUUGAUUGGAAGCUCUAGGGUUUUCUUUUUCUUUUUUUUUUUUCUACUUUCUUGAUCUAUUUCUUUGUUUCUUUAAUUGAUUUUUUAUUUUUUAUUUUGUUCAAUUGCUGAGGUUCGACGAAUGAAGUAGGAUUGAACUGGUAAUUUUUGAGCUUAAACUGGCUUUACUGUGUUAAAUGGAGCAUUUCAUUUGAUGAAACUAGAUUUUGUUAGUCAAAAAAAUGAAGAAACAUUGAGGAAUUUAACUGAAAUAAUAUUGGUUUUUUUCUCGUUUGAUUCAAUCUUGGCUUGGAUUUAAUUGAAGUAAGGAAAGUGAAGUUGAAUUCAAUUAUUCGUAUCCUUGUGCCAUGAUAAAAAAUGCUAGGAACACAAGAGCGCAGAAAAUCGAGUUGUCACCUAUUGCAUACUGUGAAUUUCCAUGCUGUGAAUUUCUAGGCAUUGUAACUUCACCUGUCUGCUGUUGUCUAAAGUUGUGCAUUUGUUCAGUACCUAGGCGAAAAUUGAGUUGUCACCUAUUGCAUACUUUAGCUUUGCAGCAAUUUUUUGUUUCAAAACGAGUGAUGUAGGAUAAGGCUUUAGCUUUGCAAAAUGUUGUGUGUUUCAAAACAAGUGAUGUAAGAUAAGUAAGGAGAAGAGAUAGACUAUUGGGAAAAUCUGAAAUUGACUGGUAAUAAUGUGUGAGGAGCAGACAAAAUUGGGAGGAAACAAAAGAAAUAUAUAGAGAACAUCGAAAAGGAAUCAACACAGUAAGGAAUCAAACUCAGUGAGAUUGAUAUUAUUUAGAAUUUUUAGAAUCAAUUAGCACCUCUCGUAUGUAUAUAUUAUUUUUGUGUAUUAAAUAAGAAUUACAACCCCAUGCGAAUGUUUAACAUCACCCAUCAACGACAUUAUAAAUUAUUAAGUAAACAUACGUUUAUUAUUUGAGGUUUACGCAUGUACUUAUGUUUACAACUUGAGAAUUUAAUAAUGGAUUAAAUCGGCAUAAUGUCAAUAAUGAAAUGCAUUUUCUAAUGAGUAUUCGACGUCACCAUAAGCCAUAAGCCAUUUUCAUCUUAUAGCAAUAACACAAGGCAUAGCAUUGACAUAUAUACUGAUAUAUAAAUAAAUUUUUAAUUUAUUGAUAUAUAUUAUAUAUCUUUUUAGUCUGUUGCUCAGCUGGAGGUAUAGCAAAACAAAUGGCAGUGUUCUUCUGCUAGAGUUUGGUUAUUUUGCUGAAAUUUAUUUAUUGGGCUAACUUUUUUGAGCUAUGAAUCUUAAGUCAUAAUGUGUUAAUGAUAUGGUUGUAAAAGGUUUUUCCACACAUAAACCCUGAUUUCUAACUUUAUCAAUCUCUGAUUCAUGAUUCUGAUUCUGAUUCUGAUAUGCUUGUUUUAUUAAAUUUGUGCUGCAGAGAUGGGCAAAUAGCGUUAGUAGCAAUUUUUGUUUUGAUGCAUGAGAGGUAAAUUGAAUUGGUGGUUCAAUCGUGAUUUUACAUUCAUAUGGGUUUUAUUCGCAAGUGCCUUGAGUAAACUAUUAUAGUAGAUUGUUUAUUUUAAAUGUAGUAGUUGAUCCUCAUAUAUGAGGGGAAGAGAUUAAUAUAUUUUGAAUUUGACUUGCUGCAUGCAGUAAUUCUGUAGCUAAGGAGCGAAAACGUGCUCUAAUUCUAUGCUGGUUUAAGUAAAGAGUGUUAUUAACAAUCAAUUACAUAGGUUCCAAAAAGGAAAUAUUUUCAAUACACAUUAGAAAGUCAAACUUGAACACAUUAGCUUAACUUGAACACAAUUACAUAAGUUCUUUCAAUAUGAAGAACGAGGAUUGAGCUUGAACACAUUAGCCUAACUACAAUGAUUAGAAAGUCAAAACCAUUCAUCUUGUUUAAAGACUCAAUUUCCGUUGAUGUCGAAAUAAUCAAUUUUAAGAUUAAAUUUAUUAAUUCGAGUCAUCUAAAAAGUUGAAACGAGAACAUCAUGAGUGGAAUAUGGGAGUGAGAAAUGAAAUUAGUUAGUAAUUAUAUUGAUUAAGUUAUUAUACAAAUAAUACAGGGAGUAAAUUGUAAGGUUAAUUAAAUGAGGAGAUUUGGUUAAAACUUUAUGCAAGCCCUUAUUGUGCAAUUAAGCCAAGGAUUAAUAAACCAUUAUUAAAUUUAGUUUAGUGGAUUGCCAUGAAAUGAUUGGUUGAUUGCCACUAUUGAAACUUUGAGAAAAUAUGACCAUUGAAUUUUCAUUAAUUAUGUUUGAUUAAAAUGUAAAAAAUUAUAAUAUUAAACAUAAUUAGUUACUCAUCUUUCUCCACCGAAAUCUCUUGAGGAAAGUUUGGUCUCUUAUUUCUCAUUAAUUAUGACGGUAGCUUUUUUAGUUAAAAGUAAGAAGUAUAAAAAAAUUUGGCUUCAAAAAUUUUCUCAAGGUUGAAGAUAUUGAUACUUUUAUGUGAUGUAAACAAUGUUGUUGUUAUUAUGUGGUGUACUACUUAAUUAUGCAUUUGGGUAAUAUUAAUUUUUAGUAUUAAUUGUGGUUUGGAAGCUAAUUUACAAUUAUUCGAUCCUUGUUUUUUAAUUUUUUAUAACACAAUUACAAAUGAUUUAUUUGACUUUGGUUGUUUUCAAUUUAUGAUGAUUAAUAUUCUAGCUUAAUAAUUGAGUAUUAUUAUAUAUUUAAUUUGAUUUGUUUAUUUAUAAAUAAAUCAUUGCAAUAUAUGUAAAAAUAAUUUAAAAUAUAUAUUUAUUAAUAUGUAUAUUAAAUUUAUUAAUAUAUGUAAAAACAGUUUUUCUGGAAAAUAUUUUCAGGAAAUCUGCCAAACAACACAAAUUCAUCCAAACACUAGAAAAGUAAAUCAUUUUCUAGAAAAGUAAAUCAUUUUCCAGAAAUCAUUUUCCGAAAAAUAUUUUACUGGCAAACAAACGGAGCCUAAAUAUAUACAAAAGAAGUUAUGUUAAUAUUUAUUUUUUAUACAAUACAAUCUAAAAAAUUUCACACUUACAGAUGCACUCUCCUAUACAACCACACGGGUAAAAUUUUCGAAUUCAUCCUACGAACUUAGAACUGUGGUCAACGUCUUUAACCAAUGAAACAAACGUUGGGUUCUAUAUUAAUGUCCAAUAUAAUAAUGAUAUACUAAUGAAAGAGAUUAUUAUUUUGAUGCAUAUAUCCCCAAUAUACUAAUUAAAUAGAUUAUAGGUUAAAUUUUUGGUAAUGUCGUUGCCAUUGGCGUUAUCACCUGUCAUUUUCAUUCAAUCAUUGGCGGCAAGAAUUAAAAAGUUAUAUUUUUGGGUGUCGUCAUUGUUAUUGGCUGCACCAAUAUUUGUACGUGUCCAAAAUACCUAUAAUUUGAGGGGAGAAUAGGAAAAAAUUUUAUUUUUUUAAUAGGUAGCGCCAUAGCCAUCGACCUGUCCAUGGGCCGGGUGGCCUGGCCCGGCCCGACUGUCCACCCGAAAUAUGGGAGGGUUUGGGUAAAAAUAUAGGCUCGAAAUAUGGGCUUGGGCAAAAUUUUAGGCCCGUUUAAAAAAUGGGCCGGGCCUCGGGCAAGAUUUUUUUGGCCCGGGCCCGAAAAAUAUUAAAUAUUUUUUUUAUUUUUAAAAUAUAAUAGUUUUUUUAUUUUAAGUUUAUUUACUUUCAUUUCCUUGACUAGUGUUACAAAAUAAUAAUAAUAAAACAUCAAGUUUGUUUUACUAAUCAAAUGUUAGAUUUUAUUACAACAAUUAAUAUAAUUAAUACAAUUAAUAAUUUGAUAAAUUUACUGAUCAAAUGUUAGAUUUUAUUACAACAAUUAAUACAAUUAACAAUUAAUAAUUUGAUAAUUUUAUUAACAAUUAAUUUUAAUAACAAUUAGUUUUAAUUUUAUUAAAAAAAUAAUUUUAAUUUUAAUUAAAAACGGGCCGGGCUCGGGCCCCAUAUUUUUUCUUUGGGCCGGGCCUGGGCAAAAUCUCAGGCCCAUAUUUCGGGCCGGGCCGGGCCCGGACCUAGUAAACGGGCUAAAAUUUUUUUGUGGGCCCGGCCCAUGGACAGGUCUACAUAGCCAUUGGCGUCACCAAAUUUGAAUUUUUUUUGUGGUGCCAUAGCCAUUUGCAUCACGCGUGUCAAAGAAUACUUAAUAUUUUUGGUGGUGCCAUAGGGAAUGGCGUGACCAAUGUCAAAUGGGGGAAUUGAUUUUUUUUUUUGUGGUUCCAUAGGCAUUGAUGUCACUCGUAUAAUUUUUUUCCUAUUAUUUGUUUUUUUUUUGUGGUGGCAUUAACAUUGGCGGCACUAAAAGGCUAUACAUACCCAUGCCCUUGAUGAAAGAUCAGUGUAUUUUUUUUUUUUACAAUUUUAUUAUGUUGAAGGAUGAAGGGGAGGGAGAAAUUUUUUUGAUUAGUUUUAGGGGAGGGAAGAUAGAAAUUUUUAGUGUUGAGAAAAUUGUGCAAACAAAACAGAAACAAUACAGAAGUUUGUUUACACAAUUCAAUUUCUCUAUGUCUGCGGAGCCUAGUUCAAUGAGUAACUUCGCUAUCUUUUGUCAUAAAUACAACAAGUGAUUCACACUCUAUCACUUCCAAAGUAUAAAGAUCUCAUCUUUGUACCUAAAGACUAGAAUACUCAUCUCUAGAUCCUCCCCCUAAGAACUUGGGUAGUAAACAAUUAACAAUGUUUACAAUUCAAUUUGCACUCUCUCACAAAGCCAUUCCUCAAUGAACAAAUUAGAAUGCACUCAAUAAGUUGUCUUACAAAACCUAUACAAGCCUCAAAGUAUAUAUCAGAUUCAGCUUGCUAACAUAGAAUUUAAGUGAAUACAAAGUAAUUCCUUGGAAUUGCUAUCACAAUCUCAAUAAUUAAAGUACAAUCAAUCGAAGAUCUGAUUUCCAUAACAACUACAAGAUCUUCAUCGAUCCUCCAUGUUUCAAGGGUUGAUUUGAUUCACUCAAAUCCAAUCCAACCUCCAAAUGCCUAGGAUUGAUUUUCCUUAGAUGGACCAUAAUAUCUUCAAAAAUGCUGAAUAUAACUAGGUUCAAAGAUUUUCUUCAUUAAAUUGUCAAACCAAAUAUGACAAGUUUUUAAACCACCUCAGUAGCAGUCUGCAAUUGGCUUUGUCAAGCGCCACUCAGCAACUCUCAACUUAUUUUGCCUCAACAUUAACAAUUUUAAGUAAUUUUUAGAACAUUUUUUUGAAUAUUUUAGGUUUUUUUAUAAAUUUUAAUAACUUUUGAAUUAUAUAUAUUAAAAUUUUUUAAUUCUUUUUAAUCUUUUUAAUUUUUAGAAUCAAAACCUAAAUGACAAAAUGGGUAAGCGUUAAGGGUCAAAAUUGUUGAAUUUUUUAAAAUCAAGACUAAAAUAACAAAAUGUGUAAACUUUAAUUUUGUUAUUAUACUAGCAAUUCAUCUUUUGACCAAAAGUAUUUUAAUGGAGUGGCUGCAAAUUACAAUUGAUCUAACGAGAGUGACUAAAACAAUAAAAAGAAUUGAGGUGACCAAAACUGGAGUGCUUUAAAACUUGGUAGACUAUUUAGGUAGUUUACUUUACUUUUCUUUUUUUGUAGUUAAAUUUUAAUUGAAAAACCUUCUUUCUAUUAUUGGAAUUGAGUUGAUCCGAAAUAAAAAUAAUCUUGUAGCUAUACCUAACCUGUUUUGGGUGCACCACACAUGUUGAAUAAGAAGAUUUUAGCAAAUAGUAUUUUUACUUUUUACAUAAAAUUCAGAAAAAUACAUACAUAUAUUGAAGUUUGAAUCCAAGAUACUAUAACAUCCACCCUUCAACCUUAGAUUCCAACCGAAGCUACAUCUGAUUUUUAUGCCAGAUUUCAAUAAACUUAUUACAUCAUUAUUUUUACUCAGAUCGUAGGUUAACCAAUCUAUUGUAUAUAAUUCUCUGAUCCAUCCUUAUAAUUCAAAAGCAUAUAUAUUUUGAAGGCCAAACAUGGUUACGAUACUCAGCAAGCGCCCACAGUGGAAAAACAUUUCUAUAUAUUGCAUAGUGUAACAUACAGUUCCUCAUGAAGACACCAGCCAGUCCCUGCCAUUUUUCAUUUGUUCCAAAAACCACAAAAUUUGUAUAUAUAUAGUUAAAUAUUUCUUUUCCUUUCCUUUUUUCUAAUGAUAGAUAUACAAAUAUAAAAAGUUACCUGCUGAGGAAAACCACCGUUUGGCAACUGAGAAUUUAUCAACAAUUUUGCAGCUCGAUGUAGAGGUGUAGGAUCCCUCUCAGCCUAUUUAGUAGCAUAUGCAUAUAUCUUAUAGUGAUUAGGAAAAUCAACACACCAAUAAUUUUAAAAUAUAUAGAAUCUUUGUUUUUGGGUACAUUAAGUCAUAAAAUCAUUGUUAAUUAUAUGUAAAGCAUACCUGGCCACUAACAAUUAAACUCAUCAUUGCUUGUGCAGUACUUACUAAAUUCGAUUCUUUUUCCUCAAUGGGUGUAUAUACCUUUCAUCAAAAACCAACAAAAAUAAAAGUACUUAUAAUUAUAUAUGUCAUUUACGGAGAGAAUUAAGUGCGAUAUGAGAUAAUGUGUGAUUUAGAUAAGAUAUUGAUGAGGGUGAGUCGAUUAUUUUGAAAGUUAUGUUAUUAAUUCUACUUUCAAUGGUAUUAUCUCUUAGAGAAGGUUUUUGUCUCUCGUACUAUUGAGACUUAAUAUGUCUUGAGGGCCUGGUUCACAGAGUUGAAAGCAUUCACUUAGUGAGUGGCUGUGCGCUCAUGUACAAACGAGGUGCUCCCUGCUCUGCGAACCAGACUCUCAAGGUAUGCUAGCUCUCAGAAGAACACGCAAGAUAAAACUCUUUCCGGAGACAAAACCUUCAAUUGUUGGGGGUUUGGUCAGCUAUUCAAGUGACGACACUUCGAAAAUUUCUCCCAAAUGAGCCGGUCCUCCCUCAGCAGAUAUAAAUCUUAAAAUUGUAUAUUAAUUUUGAUUUAAUACUCAUGAAAUAGAUUCAAUUAUUUUCAUUCUGAAUAAAUUUAUUUAUUUGUAUGUGUAAAAUUAUACUAGAUUAAUAUCUGCGUUAAUAAUUGGUGGAAAGUAAAUCAUACUUAAAAUUUCAUAUAUAGAUUAAACAAAAAUCUAAAUUCAUUUAUCAUAUUAUAUUAUACUAUCCUUUCAAUUAAAUGAAGAAAAGAAAACCUUCUUUAAAUAUUAAUUACCUUUUUGGGACAAGAAAGGUAACUCUCUCCCCAACCACCAUCUUCUCUUUGGGUUCUAAGCAAAAAAUCAACUCCUUUCCGAAUAGCCAAGCAAUUUUCGAAGUUCUUCCCAGCAGCUUUAAGACCUAAGAGUGCAAACCAUGUCCCAUAAAAGAAGCAAAUUCCCCAAUUUCCAUACCUACACACACACAUAUAUAUAGGAAUUAUAUAUCCAUCCCAUCAAAUUUCAUGUUUUGAAGAAAUGAAAAGGCCUUAUUAAGUCCUUACCAAGAACCAUCGGGAUAUCGUAUAUCUUCAAUGUACUUUGCAGCUUUUCUGAUGCAAUUUUCAAUCUCUUGUUCUCUAUGCCCUGGGUAUAGUUUCUUGAAAAGAACUAGUGCCUGGAUUGAAGAUGAAGUGCACUCUACAUACCUGGAGUUUUACGUUUGUUUUUUUUCUCUCCUUUCAUUAAUAUAUAAUUUUAUAAAUUGGUUUCUUUUACAUUAGAUAAUUAAUGAAAUUUAUUAACGGAAAAGGUGAGCUUCUUACUCAUAUUCUUUAACUAGAUCCUCUAGAAACUCGACUGGAUUUAGCCACUAAAAAGAUAAUUUAAGGUGAAAAGUUAUUGAUAGCAAAUGUAAUGACAUAUAUAUAAAGACUAAUCCAAAAAUUGAAAUAGUUAUUACCUCCCACCAGAAUCCACCUCCUGCUGGCUCCCAAGCUGAGAAACCACCAUUUUUGCUCUGCAAUAAUUUGUAUCAUAGAAUAUACUUAAGACCAAGAUAUUCAUCAUAUAAGGACAAAUUAAGAGAAGGCUUGACAUCAGAAAAUGGUAAAUUUACCAUAGAGAUUCUUUAAAUUUUAUCAAAUCAUAAUAAUUUAUUAUUUAAUUCUAAAAUUAUACCUUCCCCCACAAAAAUUAUUAUUCAUUUUUUUGGUUCCGCUAAAGUCCCUAUUGGUAUUACAAUCUAUACCUGUAAAGAUAGAAGAACAUUGACAGCAUCAUAGACAUGCUCUCUUUCCAUUUUCUCACCAACCAUUUCAGGUGCCAUCA
RNAcentral lists this long non-coding RNA (83888 nucleotides) under Gossypium raimondii (Peruvian cotton). Its description in RNAcentral is "long non-coding RNA (GRAI_LNC008738)". The stretch from base 26385 to 26525 matches the Rfam family "MIR7502 microRNA precursor family". The record is from RNAcentral. Lineage: Eukaryota; Viridiplantae; Streptophyta; Magnoliopsida; Malvales; Malvaceae.